CUCUCUCCCUCUCUCUCUCUCUUUCUCUGUAGUGCAGAUGCAGCUCAGGGAAACGCAGGGAGCAUGAUAAAAACCCGCAGCUAUAUGCCUUGCGAAAUCCUGUCUUUCCUACUGAUUUCCCUCUUCCCCUCCUCUCAUUAUUCAAAGGGCAGUGUGCUGCCUCUGUCCCCAGUCACUGCAGUUUCUGGAUCGGGAUUUCAGGCUUCCUCUCCCGGAUUGCCAGCCAGUAACAGCACGGUAAGAACAGGGCACUAUGUGCUGCAGCUUUAAUGAUGGGCUCUUUAUGGGGGAAGUGCUUGAUGUCUAUGCCCAUCUCCUCCAAAUCUAUCAUUUCUGGCAUGUCAGACACAGACAGAAUCUGCUGAUCUCCAUUUCUCUGUUCUUGUAAGUAGUGCUAUUCUAUGUAUUUUUAAACAGGUGACAAGGAAUCUGAACAUUCUAUGGCCCCAUAACCAUGCUUUAUUAAUAGACCACACACAUUGAUCAGUUUUCAUGAUAUUGUCUGCCUCUGUCUGUCUGUCUAUCUAUCAAUCCAUCUAUCCAUCCAUCUAUCUUUACCCAACUGUGGUUUAUCCUAGCUUUUGAAUGUGGCUAAAGGCCUAUUACAUUAUUGCAACUACAUUUAUAUAUGUAUGCACCUCUAUAUAAUGCUAUACGCUAUGCUAAUCAGACUAAUUGCCCUCUGUGACAUCUUAUAGAAAAAAUAUCUUAGAUAGUUAACCCAUGAAUAUAAAUGAGUUUGGGCUUUUUUUUUUUUCUCCAAUAUUGAAAAUGUAUUUUCAAAAGAAAAAACUUAUGCAUGUGUGUAUAAAUAUGUGUGUAUAUUUAUUUUUUACCUAUGCAUAAAAUAUACAGAUACACGCAAAGUUGUAAUUAAUACAGUAUUUUCAGUCAACUAUUUAAUUGUUGGUGGGGAUGAAAAGCUGCACAGAAUGCUCAGGAUCCGAGAUUCUCAUCUAGCGUUGAAUUUAUUAACCUUUUAUUUUUUUUUUCUUGCAUUAGGCAUUAACAAUGCUAGAAAUCAAACUCACUUAGUAACAAUACACAGCAGUCCAAAACGAUGUGUGUUGCAAAGUGCAUGACGCAGCAUUGUGUGUUGGAAUCUCUAACCACUACUGAGUUCUUGUACAGUAACCUGGUGGAAUUCCUGUGGGAAUGUACAGUGGCAAGCUGCGUUCCUAUACAGACACUCAUUUAAAUAGCCAAAAGAGCCUUAACUGGAAUGCCUCCGGGGGACAUAGGAUUUCCUUGUGCUGCUCUGUGAGAUUGCAGAGUAAAUGAAUCAGCAAUGUGAUCAAGGCCUCUUAUCCUUGCCUGAGGGGUUUUUAUUUUCAGCAAGGCCCCUGUGCUAUCUAGAGGAACUUGUUGUCAUUCAUGCCUUUUGGGAAAAGCGACCAAUUUUGGGGGAUUUGCUAAGCAUUAUUUCACCUAGACCAAUGGUUCCCAAACGUUUUUAGUUUCAAGGCGCCUUUAAUAUUUCAGUAUUUUUCCAAGGCACCCCAAGUCAAAAUUUCUAGGUUGUAUAUCUGUACAGCGCUGCCGCAUUUACUGGCGCUAGAGUGUAAUGUACAGUGUUGGUGUUUGAAGGGAUGCUUGUAUACAUUUAUUGUGUUUUAAUACAGGGGUGUGUUUGUAUGUAAUUUUUGCGUUUGAUUGCAGGGGUGUGUGUGAAUGUAAUGUUCACUUUUAAAUGUGGAUGUGCAUUUGUGUGAAGUAUUUGUGUUUGAGUGAAGGGGUGUGUUUGUUUGUAAUGUUUGUGUUAGAUUUCAGGAGUGUGCUUGUAUGUUGUGCUGUUGUUUGACUGCUUGGAUGCAUGCACAUUAACACACAGAUGCAUAUAAAUAUACUGACACAUACACACAAAUCAUAUAGACACCGACACACACACAUAGAUACACACCGACAUAUACACACAUGCACCCUGACACACACAAACAUUGAUACAUGCCCACACCAUGACACAGAUACACACUGACAUAAAAACACACACCCUGACACACAGAUGCACAUACACAGAUAUGUGCGUGCACACAUACACAGAAGCACACUGACAUAUAUAUAUAUAUAUACAUACAUAGAAACGUAGAAUGUGGUGGCAGAUAAGAACCAUUUGGCCCAUCUAGUCUGCCCAAUUUUCUAAAUAAUUUCAGUAGUCCCUGGCCUUAUCUUAUAGUUAGGAUAGCCUUAUGCCUAUCCCACGCAUACUUAAACUCCUUUACUGUGUUAACCUCUACCACUUCAGCUGGAAGGCUGUUCCAUGCAUCCACUACCCUCUCAGUAAAGUAAUACUUCCUGAUAUUAUUUUUAAACCUUUGCCCCUCUAAUUUAAGACUGUCCCCUUGUUGUGGCACAUUUUCUUCUUUUAAAUAUAGUCUCCUCCUUGAUUGAGUUGAUUCCCUUUAUGUAUUUAAAUGUUUCUAUCAUAUCCCCCCUGUCUUGUCUUUCCUCCAAGCUAUACAUGUUAAGAUCCUUUAACCUUUCCUGGUAAGUUUUAUCCUGCAAUCCACUGAAGGUGUGUAAGUAAUAGAGAGGUUUAUUGGAGAACAGAGUAACGUUUUGACCUCACAAGGUCUUUGUCAAGCUUGAACUCGGUGAGGUUGAAACGUUUUACACACCUUGAGUGUCUGGUUCAUUCUGUUUUUUACUGCCAUCCAUUGUCAUAUACUGUGUGAUGAUAUAGAGGGAAAUUUUAAUAUGUAAUAGGAAUAAAACACGGAACAGUACUUACAUGGAGUAUUAUACCAUUUAAACCAUCAUUUUUACACAAUAUGUGCAACAAGAUGCUGUAAAUUAAACAGUUAUCUCUUUGGCAUCCUUGAAACGUUUAAAUGUAGUGCAUAUUGGUUAAAUAGUAUAUAUGACUGGGAUUAUGAUACAGUUCAUUGAAAUGUUACCAGAAAGUAGAGUUCAGUACAAAUAUAAUUAACUAGGUACUCCUGCUAAGAGAGAAAAACCAAUAAAGUAUAUGCAUUGUCACUUUUUCAUUUUGUGUAUAUGAUUGUCAUACUUAUCUGUUCCGGAGCUCCCCGAUCCGGCGGUGGGUCAGAUGCUCCAAGCUCUGCGUGCGUGUCUAUUUGUACAGAGUUGCGCCAACAUCAUAACAGCACGACUCAAAGUGCCGAACUGAUCGAUUUGCACAAUCUGAAACUCCGGAAUUCGGCUUUCAGACUCUAAACUUAUGCAGACCAAUAAGAUUGGUUCCCUGGCUUUAUAAGCCAGGGCCUUUUUAGUAGCAAGUUUCCCUGUUGUGGUUCAUGUUGACCCAAGAGUGCGUAUUAUAUUGUAUUUGGAUUUCUUGUUACCGACUUUGGCUUGUUUAUUGUUUCACCGCUUUCUGUGUUUCUGGCUUGUCUUAUUAUUUAUGCUGUUCUCUCCUACGUUGGAUCUUGGCUUCCUGACUACUCUUUAAGUUAAAUCUGGCCAUUCUAAGGCCCAGUAAUACGUUAUACCUCUCCUUUAGCAGAUUAGGGUCUGUGUGUUUUGGGUUCUCCUACUUUAGCCGUGACAAUGAUGACCUUUUUUAAUAGACCUCUUUAUAUAAAACCGAGAAAGCAUAAAUCAAGAAAUGUUUUUCUGGAGCCAUGUUGUUUGAUAUUGAGUUUCGAACAGGCCGUAUCACAUGAGAAGUGUGAAUGUAUAGUAAUUUAAAGAGGGACUGUCACUUUCCUAAUAUUAGCCCAAGCAAAUAGCUAACUAAAGGUUAGCCACUGGUUGAGCUAUUUUAUUUUUCUUUUAAUUCUUCAAAGUAUGUAAAUUUAUUAGGCCUCCCAGUAUGGCACUACUGAAGAAAAUGCCAAAUGCGCAUGUGCUCAUACAGACUUUCUCCAUUGAAUGGCUGAUCACACUUGAGCACGCCAUAGAUAUUACAGGGCAAUAUCACAACUACAUGGAAGUGCGACAAAGGUAGGUAUGUUUUUUAUUUGCCUCUACUGCUGGAAGUGACAGUUCUCUUUUAAGGUUUGUACCAGGAUCUCUUAGUUGAAUGUGAAAGAAGAGCAAGUUUACAAAACGGAAGAGCUCUUUCACCACUGAGUGCUUUUAUUUUCAUAAAUAUAUACAUAGAAGAAAACGUUAUAACGUGUUAAGAGACUAAAUCAUUUUUACAGGUCUUACUAUUUUUCAUUUAGGUUCAAACCAUUAGCUUGCAAAUGAAAGUUGCAAUUCUAUAACAUACAUUAAAAGAAAAUUUAAAUAACACAAAUCGUCAGGUACCCUGUUGAUAUAUAUGAAAAUGUUGAUAAUUUUUAUACUGUGAAAAUGAAAAACGGUUGUUUUUAUAUAAGCUACUGGAGCUUCCAAGUGUGCUUGGAGCACUCAAACCCUCUUCCCAAAGGCCUGUACUUAUAAAGACUAGCAGGCUACAGUAGAAGGAGAGGGUGAAACAUCAAGGGGUAGUUUAAACACCAUAACCACUACAGUGUACUAUGGUGGUUGCCAGGUUUGAAGAUUUUACUUUGCAUUGGCAUAUUUUAUACAUAAAAAUAACCUUCCACAAUUUGUGAUAUAAUACCAGGACCCUUUUAAUUCUGGGUUGUCGCAUCACCUUGCGGUACCGCACACUCCCUCCAGUGCCACGUGUUCAUGACACCUGGCACUUCCGCAUUCAGCCUCUGAUGCUGAAUGCACGUACAGGCGUUGUGACGUCAUUCAUGGCGCAGAAUGCUCACACUCUGCCCUUUUUUAUAUUUAAAGUUACAUGGCGCCUUCUCUUGACAUGUUACUUCCAUAUUGUCAGGAUCCUAUCCUGACAACCAAAGUUAUGUUUCCUUUUUUCUUUUAUUUCUACAAAUUCCAGUUUCCCACCACUAACCUCCCUAGUCACUAGUCUAAAUCCACAGUUUCUCUCACCUGCCCAGCGUGAUUAUUAAAUCUGCUAUAAGAAGCCACACCCUGCUAAAUAAAUGGCCUUUACAUUGAAUUAAUGAAGUUGAUCUUCAACCUGAAUGAACGUCUGAUCCUGGCUCCUACAGAGAAAACCUGCUUUAUUCUAAAUAACAUUAAAGGGACACUAUAGUCACCAGUGCAACUACAUGUAUUCCUAACCCUAUAGUGUUAACACGACCAUCUAGCCCCCGAGGGCCCCUCACGCCUCCAUAAAUAUUGUAAAAAUCUUACUGUAUUCAAGUCAGAAGCUGUAAAUCUGCAUGCUGAGACUCAGGAAAAACAAGCAGUCUGCUGACAUGUGAUAGCCUGUUCCAAUCACAGUGCUUCCCUAUAGGAUUGGCUGAAACUGACUAGGAGGCAGAUCAGGGGCAGAGCCAGCAUGAUUCAAACACAGCCCUGGCCAAUCAGCAUCUCCUCAUAAGGAUGAAUUGAAUCAAUGAAUCUCUAUGAGGAAAGUUCAGUGUCUGCAUGCAGUGGGAGGAGAUACUGAAUCACAGGAUGCUGUGCACAGCAGAUCUGAGUGGAUGAAAGCAUAUUAUGCCUCCAUCAACUCAGAAGUCCCUCUGGUUCACUCUGAGUGACUGCAACUGGAGGUGUUCCUAGCUUUCAAUGUAAACACUGUAUUUUCUCAGAAAAUACAGUGUUUACAUGAGAAAGGCUGCAGGGAGCUAUAGUUCUCACCUGAACAACCUCAUUAAACUGAAGUUGUUCAGGUGACUAUAGUGUCCCUUUAAACCCAACCUGAUUUAUGGGAACAACCUGCUUCAUUUCCAAUCUGCUUACAACCAAUAAGCUUGGGGACAGACCUGAUCUACAAUACCUCACUGGACUUCGAUACCUUCUUGCGUUGUUUCAAACCUACAUAACACCUACCUUAUCUACACUACCAACCUGCAUAACACAAACAUUCCUGUUAUUUUGCAACUAUCCUGAAUGACCCUGUUACAAUUAUCUGAAAUUUGCAGUACUUCAUCCAAACCAAAGGGGUCGAUCACCUAAACAUCUAAAUAUCCUGUAUUUCCAAAACCUAAAUAUUCUGUUUAGUUCUGUCUUAUUAUAUUUGUUUACCUGUAACCCAUAUUUUCAUUUUAUAGGUUUUCCUUCACUUUAUUUACCUAUAACUUCAUUUUUCUUUCUACCUAAUAUCCUGUCUGGAACAUAUUGCCUAACUUUCUAUUCUUGUUAUUCCUCUAUAUAUUUUACCUAUAAUCUCGCUUAUAGGUUCUUCUUUCUUCCUUUGACCUAUAUUGUCCUUUAUAUGUGUUAUUUCCUAAGUAACCUGUCCUGGGCAUAUUUCCUAACCCUCUAUUAAAUAUUCUCCUUUUUACUUUCAUUCCUUUCUAUUAUUUCCACUUCCCCUUUAAUUCCUGCUGCAUUUAUUAUUACAAGAAAACCAUGUCAAAGAUUAUAAAUGAAGAGCCUAAAGUUAACCCCGGUAUAAGUCUCUUAUGUGACCUGAUCAAGGACCUGACAUAUAUGACAUCACACAGACCUGUAACCAAUCACUACACAGUAUACGAUAUUUAACUGUAGGGUAUUUUCUUGGUUGUUCUUAGUUUCAUGCCCUGUCAGUGCGUUAUAUUAUUUUACUUAUUCAGUUUUCUCAACUUAGCUUUUUUUUUUUUUGACCGUUCUUGCUCUCUGCAACCCUGACCUUGCUUGAUUCAUGAUUCUGUGCACUUCUGUUGCCCUGACCUUGAUAACGUUCAUUCUGUGUCUGCUUGCAGACAUUCUGACUUAUUUUUCAGUGCUAUCCCGGCCAUUCUAAGGACUGGUAUGCAUAUCUACCUUGUUUCAAUCUAGGUAUGUGUAUUAGGGUCAGGUCAGCCCUCAUCUGGGUAGUCGUAUCGUAGAUCGUAGUAGGUUACUUUUUUCCUUAGUUUAUCCGGAAGGGGAUAUUGUUUAGGUUACAUGUAGCACUGUAAGCAUUUCAAGGUUCUCACUAAGGUGAACUAUGGAUGCCACUACAAGCACAUGUUCAACUACAGAACACAAUACAAAAUCUAUUAGAGGAACCUGCCAUUCUCACAAUGUGUUCACAUUCACAUAGAUGCAGAUCCAGUUUAUACAUUGUACUAGUGAAUUUGAAAGGAAAUGCUUUUCAAUACAUAAUGCGUGUAGGCAGCAUGGUGCUUAAUCCAGAAUAAAAAAAUCACAACAGCAAAAAAGCUGUUAAUAGCCUGCUAGGACUUGUAAUGCAAAAUUUAUUUUUAUUAGUGAUGGUUGUUUCAGAUUCUCAGAUUCCUAUACAAUUUUUCAUCAGGGCAAAGUUUCACAUAUAAUUCCUAUAUAUAUAUUAUACAUACAUACAACUGAUCAUUGAAGUGCACUUGCCAAGGCUGAAACUUGUCCAUGAACCUGCCUGUGGGUGCGCAUGUGCGCAUAUGACUCCGCCCUGUGAUGCCUCCCAGAGUGUACGUCUUUGCCAUGGUGAUCUGAAUGCUUUUUGUGUGAUCACAUCAUGGCUAAAGAUAUAUACAUACAAACACAGUGUUAGUGAUUACAAUGUGCUGGAGGGCUGAAAAAUUUAGUUGAAACAACUGCUACAGCACAUCACACCGUUCAAGACUCAAUUUGGUUUUGGUCUAACUGAAAGGACCUCCGAGUGCAAACGUGCCAGUGGGUCUUUGUACACGCAUGAAACAGUGUUUCCGUAGUGACAGGGAUGCCAUGUUCUGAUUGCUGCAAAAUUAAAAACAUGAACAACUAAUGUGACACUAAAACAAGCUAAUUAAACAGUGAGGAUACCGGGCAAAAACAUUAGGUUAUACUUUGUUAUUUAAAGGACCACUAUAGGCACCCAGACCACUUCAGCUUAAUGAAGUGGUCUGGGUGCCAGGUCCAUCUAGGAUUAACCCUUUCUGCUGUAAUCCAGCCUCUAGUGGCUGUCUCAUUGACAGCCGCUAGAGGCACUUCUGCGAUUCUUACUGUGAUUUUCAAAGUGAGAAGACGCCAGCGUCCAUAGGAAAGCAUUGAGAAUGCUUUCCUAUGGACUGGCUGAAUGCGCACGCGGCUCAUGCCGCGCAUGCGCAUUCAGCCGAUUAUGGGGAAAGGGGGGGGGAGAGUCCCCAGCAUCAAGGGAGCCUGGCGCUGGGAAAAAGGUAAGGGAUUAACCCCUUCAUCACCCUAGAGCCUGGUGGGAGGGGGGCCCAGAGUGUGAGGGGGACCCAAGGACCCUAUAGAGCCAGGAAAACAAGUAUGUUUUCCUGGCACCAUAGUGGUCCUUUAAAAUUUGGGAUAUGGCCUAUGGCCAUGAAUUUAAGCAUAGGGGGAGUAUGCCUAAAUUAAAAUAAAUGCUUUAGUAUUAGUAAGUCUGAUGUACAAUCUCGGUAUGCUAUUCGGUUAGAAGACCUAUGGUUGCGUAUGCAUUCACGAAGGGGUAGAUCUGUCUCCCCAACAGAUGCAAGUCCAUAGGGGUACACCAAUUUAUAAAUCACAAAAUCCAUAGUACACGUGAUCUGGUGCUGUACAGUGCCACAAUGUAAGUGGAAAAAAUGCUUCAGUUUAUAUGUCCAGAUGUAACACACAACCAUAAUUCACAAAUUCCUUGGUAUUGUCGUAGCAAUGUACAGUAUCUGUGUUAACCAGUAGAUCUUUUGAGUUCUUUUCUCUACCGAAACCCAACAUAGGAUUUAUUUUCUUUAAAGCAGGUAGGGUUGGAUCCUUGGCUACGUUGCACCAAUUUUAAAUAUAAUAUUCUUUAAUUGGCCUGACGUUGUAGUGAAAUGCUGGAAAAAUAAAUCUAUUGGCUUUGUUUUUUAUGUCACCAUCAUUCUGGCACUUGCAUAGGGUCUCCUGUAGGAUUACAUCCUUUUACCCUCUCUGUUUGAAGUUUUUUCACAUUUGUGAUAUUUGCUGACCCACAGCCACAGCACUGGAGUUGUUUAUGUACCCUCUUAAAAAUUGAGAAUAAGGCAACAAGGCUUUAAGAUGAUGUGGCAUGCAGCAAUGUGGUCCUGCCAGUUAGUUUCCCGUACAAUGUGUACGUGAGGUGUGAGCCAUGAACACAUACAAAAUUAUAUAGGUAUCCCACUAUACUUGUCAUGGUGCUGCACUCUGGCCAAAGAACAUCUGCCAAACAGGAGUGCGCUCAAUGGACUUUCACAUGCAGCAUAAAAAUGAUUAAUAAAAAAAGCCUUUAAUCCCAUUUCAUCCUGUUUGGCCUCACACUCCACCAACCCAGAGAACAAGUCCAAGCCUCAGUGGCGCCAAACGAUUGAGUGGUGGAACGCAAGCAAAGCCAAGUGAACAGAUGGGUGCAAGAAAGAGAUGAACAGGGAUAGAUUAGAUAAGAGUGUGUAAAAUGGGUAAUGAGCACUGUGAAGCACAAAAGCAUAUUUCGAUCCUAGCACCAUGCUGAGAGAGCACUAUCACUAAUUAUAGAACAUAGCAACAGUAACCAUACACUGCAACAUUCUAUCAAGUUAACAAUUCAUGCAACAUAGUAACAUGCAGAGAAGCCUAGUAUCACCGAGGUGAGAACAUAGCUGUCAUGCCCGGAUUGUGUAUUUAACAGGCUAAUGAAUGUAAGGAAGCACAGUUUCUAAAUACAAUAAAGUAUCAGAUAGCUUAAGGAUACAUAGACAGAAAAGUAUAUGAUAUCGCCAAAUGCAUAAAUCUUUGUAAAACACUACAACGCUAGGCUUACAAUAACAUAAUAAUUCCCUGAAAUGGAGCUGUGAUAUCGGCCCAAAUUAAUAUAUUUUGGACCAUAACAACAUGCAGAGGAACCUCGAUCCCUGCAGUGAGAGCAUAGAUGUCAUAUACCAAAUUCCUACUAUACCUAUUACAGGCUAGCAAAGAAAGUGAAGCAGGGGCACAAAAUAUAAGCACGGUAUUGCGUAAAGGAUCACUAUAGGGUCAGGAACACGAACAUGUAUUCCUGACCCUAUAGUGCUAAACCCACCAUUUAGGUGGUUUGUUCCCCCUUAGCCCCCCUAUGAAAGUUUAAAGGGACACUCCAGGCACCCAGACUACUUCUGCCCAUUGGAGUGGUCUGGGUGCCAACUCCCACUACCCUUAACCCGGCAACUGUAAAUAUUGCAGUUUCCCAUGGGGAAAGCAUUGGAUUGGCUAAAAUCGGCAUGGGGUGGGGGCCAAAUGCCGUUUUGGCCAAUCAGGAUCUCCUCAUAGAGAUGCAUUGAAUCAAGGAAUCUCUAUGAGGAAAAUUCAGCAUCUCCAUGCAGAGCGUGGGGACACUGAAUGGCAGGGCUGCCUACUGUGCAGCCCUGAACCAGGAAGCCCCUAGGCAGGGCCGCCACCAGAAAUUUUGGGGCCCCUGACACAACACAAGGUCUGGGCCCCCUCCUGCCCCCCUCCCACCCGCGAGUCCACCCACAGGACUCCUACCUAGUCCGCUGCAAAUGAUGCAGGACUGAAUGUGGUGUGUAUAGUGGAAGUGAAUUAGAAUGUGUGUAAUGGAUGUAGUAUUUGUGUGUAUUAGAUACUGUUUGUGCAGUAAAUGCAGAGUGUGUGUUUGUGUAGCGGAUGCAGAGUUUGUAUAGUGAACGCAGAGUGUGUUUGAGUAGUGGAUGUAGUGUGUGUUUGUGUAGUGGAUGUAGUGUCUGUGUGUACUAGAUGCAAUGUGUUUAGUGGAUGCAGUGUCUGUAGUGGAUGUAGUGUGUGUAUUAGAUGCAGUGUCUCUGUAUAGUGAAUGCAGAGUGUUUGAAUGUGUGGUGGAUGUAGUGUUUGUACUGUGAAUACAGGAUGUUUGUGUAGUGGAUGCUGUGUGUGUGUGUUAGUGUAGUAUAUGCAGAGUGUGUGUGUGUGUGUGUGUUAGUGUAGUGUAUGCAGAGUGUGUGUGUGUUAGUGUGGUGUAUGCAGAGUGUGUGUGUGUUAGUGUAAUGAUUGCAGUGUGUGUGUUAGUGUAUUGAUUGCAGUGUGUGUGUUAGUGUAGUGUCUUCCCUCUGUAACUCCCACAAGCAAGGCAUGCGUGCCGCAGCAGUUACAGAGAGGGAAGAGCUUGUAAGUACACUUGCAGUCCGCUGGGCCCCCUCUGCAAGUACAGGGAGCCGGGGGCCCGCGGCUGCACCUGCACUGCACAUAUAUAUAGUGAUCAUCGCUAUAUAUAUGUGCAGAGAGUAAUUGUGGGGCCCUGGACUGCCAAAGCAGUCCAGGCCCCCCAGGACCGCCGGGCCCGUGACAACCGUCAUGGUUGUCAACCCCUGUUGGCGGCCCUGCCCCUAGGGGCAAUGUAAACUGCCUUUUCUCUGAAUAUUGUUGACAAAUCUGUCUAAAUCUGUGUUAGUGAGCACUUCUCCUUUGCCGAGAUAAUCCAUCCACCUCUCAGGUGUGGCAUAUCAAGAUGCUGAUUAGGCAGCAUGAUUAUUGCACAGGUGUGCUUUAGGCUGGCCACAAUAAAAGGCUACAAUAAAAUGCCACUCUAAAAUUUGCAGUUUUAUCACACAGCACAAUGCCACAGAUGUCGCAAGUUUUGAGGGAGCAUGCAAUUGGCAUGCUGACUGCAGGAAUGUCCACCAGAGCUGUUGCCUGUGAAUUGAAUGUUAAUUUCUCUACCAUAAGCAGUCUCCAAAGGCGUUUCAGAGAAUUUGGCAGUGCAUCCAACCGGCUUCACAACCGCAGACCACAUGUAACCACACCAGCCCAGGACCUCCACAUCGAGCAUCUUCACCUCCAAGAUCUUCUGAUACCAGCCAGUUCCGUAUGCACAGAAGAGUAUGCAAUAGCUGCGUUCCACCAGACUUCGGGAUACAAUCUGAAAAGAAGUUACCAGAACAAAAGCUAUAGGUAGCUACAUAGAGUUAGAUAUUAAUAGACUUAGAAUCCUAGGGGAGACCAUAAUGUAUAGCUCUCCUAAAUACCACUGCCUCUUGUGGGGGAAAGUAACCCAAUUCUUUCUUUAACCCAGCCACCUGGACAGCUGCUGCAACAAUCAGUUUGCAUAACCAAACAAUUUCUGCACAAAUUGUCCGAAACCGUCUCAGGGAAGCUCAUCAGAGUCUCGACCUGACUGCAGUUCUUCGUCGUAACCAACUUGAGUGGGCAAAUGCUCACAUUUGAUGGCGUCUGGCUCUUUGGAGAGGUGUUCUCUUCACAGAUGAAGCCCGAUUUUCACUAUACAGGGCAGAUGGCAGACAGCGUGUAUGGUGUUGUGUGGGUGAGCGGUUUGCUGAUGUCAAUGUUGUGGAUCGAGUGGCCCAUGGUGACAGUGGGGUUAUGGUAUGGGCAGGCGUAUGUUAUGGACAACGAACAUGGGUUCAUUUUAUUGAUAUCAUUUUGAAUGCACAGAGAUACCGUUAUGAGAUCCUGAGGCCCAUUGUUGUGCCAUUCAUCCACGACCAUCUCCUCAAAAUAUCCAGCAACUUCGCACAGCCAUUGAAGAAGAGUGGACCAACUACCACAGGCCACAAUCAACAACCUGAUCAACUCUAUGCGAAGGAGAUACUCACUGGUUUUCGCCCCCUCCCCCGCCCCCCAGACCUCCCAAUACAGUAAAACUGCACAUUUUAGAGUGGCAUUUUAUUGUGGCCAGCCUAAGGCACACCUGUGCAAUAAUCAUGCUGUCUAAUGAGCAUCUUGAUAUGCCACACCUGUGAGGUGGAUGGGUUAUCUCGGCAAAGAAGUGCUCACUAACAUAGAUUUAGACAGAUUUGUGAACAAUAUUUGAAAUAGGCCUUUUGUGUACAUAGAAAAAGUCUUAGAUCUUUGAGUUCAGCUCAUGAAAAAUGGGGGCAAAAACAAAAAAAGUGUUGCAUUUAUAAUUUUGUUCAGUGUAUAUGGUCAUCUUAGUAUUAGACAGACAUUAUGUGUAACAGUAACUACAAGGGUUGAAAACAACAUUUUUUGGGAUAUUCUGAUAUUUUCUCUGAAAUCAUGUAUGUAAAAGCAAACAGAGCAUCUCGUAAAAAAGCUAACACAAGUUAUAGAAUAUUUUCAGUUUUACUCAAUGGUGUUAUAUCCAGAAAAGUCACAAUUCUCAUAUAAAGAGUCAUUGAUAUGAAAGAAAACUAGCAGCACAUCGGUGAAUAUCAUAGCAGUCUAAAGGCCUACAUAUAUAUAGCCAACCAUAACUGAUGGUGAAUUAAAUAUCAGAAAGGAAAGUAUAUAGUACACGAAAAAGAAAGAGCUCCUCUUGAACUUUAGGAGAAAAUUAAUCUUUUAGUAGGACAGCUAGACCAAUCAAAUAAAAAAAAAAAAAAAGAUCCCAAUAAAGGAGAUUUGGGAAUUCCAAAUCUUGUUAGUUAUUAUAGUGCCUCGGUUUUAGUAAAUGCAUUCAUAGGAUCGCUUUUGUCGCUGGUAAGAUAUUGAGGAUAUUUUGGUAUUCCCAGGCAAGUUGUGUUAUUAUCUUUGGUUGAAGUCUCCACCUAAAUUGCACCUAGAGAGUAGUCACAUUUCACUCCAUGUGCAUUUGGCUUAGAGAAAGCUGGAUACAACUCAUGAAGAUUUUGUAAUGGUUUCAAGAGCAACUCCAGUGGUGGCCUUGACAUUGGGCAUUGUGUCAUUAACUAUUUGAGAAUGAAGCAAACAGGGGAUACGUGAAGUGAGAGAUUUAUUCCAUGGUUUGGCAUCAAGUUUUUUUAACGGCUCUUGGAGCAAUAAUGAAUACCUGCUAAGGUGUACUUUCAAUGUUUACAGUUUAUAAAUUACCUUGGAACAGAUAGUAUUUAGUGAUGUACCGAACGGUUCGCCGGCGAACGGUUCCUGGCGAACAUAGCAUGUUCGCGUUCGCCACGGCGGGCGAACAUAUGCGCGGUUCGACCCGCCCCCUAUUCGUCAUCAUUGAGUAAACUUUGACCCUGUACCUCACGGUCAGCAGACACAUUCCAGCCAAUUAGCAGCACAGCCUCCCUAGCAGACCCUCCCACCUACUGGACAGCAUCUAUUUUAGAUUCAUUCUCAAGCUGCAUGCUUAGUAAGAGGAGGGAAAGUGUAGCUGCUGUUCAUAAGAUAGGGAAAAGCAUAGCUAGGUUAGGGAUAAGGGUAUGCUUUUUUUGGAUUUUUUUUUUCUAUGUAAUGUAAAUGCACUUAGUUGUCUGCCACUGCUGCCAGCUUCUGUGUCAGGCUCACAGUGCCCAUUUCCCCAGUCAGUGCCACCAAUUACAUCUGGUGUCACAAUAGCUUGGAUUUAAAAACAAAAAACUUUUUUCACUGUUAUAGAUUGAAUAGCAGUCAGUUGUCUGCCACUGCUGCCAGCUUCUGUGUCAGGCUCACAGUGCACACUGUGCCCAUUUCCCCAGUCAGUGCCACCAAUUACAUCUGGUGUCACAAUAGCUUGGAUUUAAAAACAAAAAACUUUUUUCACUGUUAUAGAUUGAAUAGCAGUCAGUUGUCUGCCACUGCUGCCAGCUUCUGUGUCAGGCUCACAGUGCAUACUGUGCCCAUUUCCCCAGUCAGUGCCACCAAUUACAUCUGGUGUCACAAUAGCUUGGAUUUAAAAAACAAAAAACUUUUUUCACUGUUAUAAAUUGAAUAGCAGUCAGUGUCCUUAAAGCGGGUGUGUUACGCUAACAGUGGAUACUGACAAGUGCCACUAAUUAGAUCUGGUGUCACAAUAGCUUGGAUUUAAAAACAAAAACUUUUUUUACUGUUAUAGAUUGAAUAGCAGUCAGUGUCCCAAAGCGCGUGUGUUACGCUUAACAGUGGAUACGCCGCUUCGACAAGUGCCAAUUAUUAGAUCCUGUGUCACAAUAGCUUGGAUUUAAAAACAAAAAACUUUUUUUACUGUUAUAGAUUGAAUAGCAGUCAGUGUCCUUAAAGCGGGUGUGUUACGCUAACAGUGGAUACUCUGACAAGUGCCACUAAUUAGAUCUGGUGUCACAAUAGUUUGGAUUUAAAAACAAAAAACUUUUUUUUACUGUUAUAGAUUGAAUAGCAGUCAGUGUCCUUAAAGCGGGUGUGUUAAGCUCACAGUGGAUACGGUACUCAGUGCCACCACUCACUCAUAUCUGGUGUCACAAUAGCUUGCAUUUAAAAACAAAAAACUUUUUUUUACUGUUAUAGAUUGAAUAGCAGUCAGUGUCCUUAAAGCUGGUGUGUUACGCUUAACAGUGGAUACGACAAGUGCCACUAAUUAGAUCUUGGUGUCACAAUAGUUUGAUUUAAAUACAAAAACCUUUUUUUACUGUUAUAGAUUGAAUAGCAGUCAGUGUCCUUAAAGCGGGUGUGUUACGCUAACAGUGGAUACGCUGACAAGUGCCACUAAUUAGACUUGGUGUCACAAUAGUUUGGAUUUAAAAAAAAAAUAAUCUUUUUUCACUGUUAUAGAUUGAAUAGCAGUCAGUGUCCUUAAAGCGGGUGUGUUACGCUAACAGUGGAUACGCUGACAAGUGCCACUAAUUAGAUCUUGGAUCGCAAUAGCNNNNNNNNNNNNNNNNNNNNNNNNNNNNNNNNNNNNNNNNNNNNNNNNNNNNNNNNNNNNNNNNNNNNNNNNNNNNNNNNNNNNNNNNNNNNNNNNNNNNACAAAAAUCAAUGCCGUGUACACGACCACUGAUAGGAGACGCGGAAGGUAUUAAACUGAUCAGAACAAUACUAAACACACCACUCCUAUCUGGUGGCACAUUAGCUUGACCGCGCAGUGAGUGCCCCAAAUUUGCAGUAAGAGGACCGACCAAGCCUCUUCUUCCAUCUCCCUGUUACAAAAAUCAACGCCGUGUACACCACCACCGAUAGGAGACGUGGAAGGUAUUAAACUGAUCAGAACAAUACUAAACACACCACUCCUAUCUGGUGGCACAUUAGCUUGACCGCGCAGUGCCCCAAAUUUGCAGUAAGAGGACCGACCAAGCCUCUUCUUCCAUCUCCCUGUUACAAAAAUCAAUGCCGUGUACACGCCCACCGAUAGGAGACGCGGAAGGUAUUAAACUGAUCAGAACAGUACUAAACACACCACUCCUAUCUGGUGGCACAUUAGCUUGACCGCGCAGUGCCCCAAAUUUGAAUUAAGAGGACCCACCAAGCAUCUUCUUCCAUCUCCCUGUUACAGAAAUCACUGCCAUAUCCAUACAAAUUGUACAGAAUGUCCAGGAUAGUUUUCCAGGGACAAAUGUUGUCGCCUGUUGAACGAGGUGACCUUGCUCGGGUCCCAGGUGUACGGUUCCUAAAAUGGCUGCCAUAUACACGUCCACUGAUAGGAGACGCUGAAGGUAUUAAACUGAUCAGAACAAUACUAAACACACCACAAAUAAGGUUUCUCUCCUGUAUGGCUCCUCAAAUGAUGCUUAAGAUUAGAAGCGGCUGAAAAGCAUUUCUCACACUCCGAACAAAAAUAUAUUUUUUUAACAUUCUCUCCACUUUGAACGAAAUGACGUUUGGGAAGAGAUUAACAUACUUAAACACAGGCAGUAAAAAUACAGUUUUUAGCCAUACCCUGUAACUUUAAAACUGCACAUCCCAUCUUCAUAAUUACAUAUUUGGAAUCAGCACACUUAAAACAUAAACAUAACCAAAAAUCAGCCAAAUCCAUCCAGGGGUUAAAAAGUUAGCUGGAGGUCCCUUUAUGACCGACGCAAGCACAUUUUCCUGCCCAAAACAGUUCCAUAGAUUUGGGCUGUGAGGUCGGUCUAUUUCAGGCUGAAAAAACGACUAAGUCCCAUCGCGAAUGGGACUUAGUCUCCGCAGCUGAAAUAAGGCUGAAAAAAACGGCUGAAAAAAAGACUAAGUCCCAUCGCCGAAUGGGACUUAGUCUCUGCAGCUGAAAUAAGGCUGAAAAAAACGGCUGAAAAAAAGACUAAGUCCCAUCGCCGAAUGGGACUUAGUCUCUGCAGCUGAAAUAAUUUCCCAUUUACUGAACUAAGUGGGAAAUAGCAAGGCAGGCACAAAGGGUUUGCACCAGGUCUGGGGACACAGGGGACACCGUCUUAAAGGGGCCGUGUCCCCAACAAGUCUGGGGACACGGCCUUAAAGGGGCAGUGUCCCACCUUCCUGAUGUCCCAAAAAAGGUGUUUAAAGGGCCAGCACCAGUCACAUAAAGAGUCCAUAAGCCCCAAUAUGCCCAAUCGACAGUCUUAAAGGGCCAUACACACACCAAAUAAAGUGCAUACAUUUCACAAUCUCCAGGGGCCAUAUCAUGUGCGGAGGAGGCUGCAAGCAGGCUUCUCCGCACAACCUAGGAAGGCAGGGCACCUUGGUUACUUAAAGGGCCCAAGCAUAAAUAGCAGCUCUUGUAAAAUGCACACCCAUAUCUGCCAAGUGACCCGGCUGUAGGGGACCAGUCCCUAUUCUGCUCCAGGUCAGUGUGUACCAGGGAACCUUAGGACAGGUGUCAAUCCAUAUCUGCCAAGUGACCCUAUGUAGGGGGACAGUCUCUAUUCUGCUCUGUGUCCGUGUGCAUCAGGGCUCUGAGGACAGGUGUCAAUCCAUAUGUCAAGGUGUCAAUAUGUCAUAUGUCAGGUGUCAAUCCAUAUUGAUUGUGAUUUAGGAAUGUUAGGUGAUUUCUGCCCUUUAUGGAUUAAAACCAGACUCUGUAUCAACUGUGUAAUUUUCCAUGGGAGUUUUGCCAUGGAUCCCCCUCCGGCAUGCCACAGUCCAGGUGUUAGUCCCCUUGAAACAACUUUCCCAUCCCUAUUGUGGCCAGAAAGAGUCCCUGUGUGUUUUAAAAUUCGCCUCCCCAUUGAAGUCAAUGGCGUUUCGGGCGGUUCGCCGGUUCGCGAACAUUUGCGGAAGUUCGCGUUCGCCGUUCGCGAACCGAAAAUUUCGGGUUCGCGACAUCACUAAUAGUAUUCUUCUAACUCAAUGGGUUCUCUCCCCCCAGAUAAUUUUCUUGUGCACUAAAGCAAAACAUCAUACGUACUUAUUAUCAGUUUUUGAUUCUGCCAACUUCCUUAGCCAAAUUGUCUUACAUGAUCAAUGGGAAAAUAAGCUGGAGUCUUCUUUUGAUAUUGAUUUAUGAUAUGGAGUUCUUAUUAACCUUUCUAUUUUUUUUUUUUAUGUGUUGCUUAUUUAUGAGGUUAAAAAUAAACAUUUGUUCCAUUGGUAUUUUCUGACAGAAUGAUUGGUGCACAUAUUUCCUUCACAAUCUCAUUUAUGGUUACAUAUGCUAAAAGGCUUGAUGUCUCCAUCAAGUUCAGCCUUCCUAACAUUUGUUUGCUGUUGAUCCAAAAGAAGGCAAACAAAAACAGUUUGCAGCACUUCCAAUUUUGUAAAAAAAACUAGGAAAAAUUCCCUCUUGACCCCAGAAUGGCAACCAUAUUAAUCCUUGGAUCAAGAAGCAUUUACCCUACAUUGAAAAAUGAUAUCCUUGAAUGUUCUGUUUUUGCAAGUAUGCCUCUAGUUGCGGACCCUGAUAAAACCACUUCUUCAGGCUGAAAAUUACAUAUCCUUAUUGUUCUUACAGUAAAAAAAAAACCUUUCCUUUGCCUUAGACUAAAUCUAAUUUCUUCCAGUCUAAGUGCAUGACCUCGUGUCCUAUGUAUAGUUCUGAUUGUGAGUAGAUUUACACACAAUGGUUUUUAUCGGCCGCGAAUAUAUUUGUAUAAUAUUAUCAUAUCCCUUCGGAGGCAACAUUUUUCUAAACUUAAAAGGUUUCAAUUUGUUACCCUUUCUUCAGAGGUAAAAUUUUCUAUUCCUUUUAUUAUUUUGUUACCCGCCUCUGCACUCUUUUUAAUGCCUAAUAUCCUUCUUUAGAACAGGUGCCCAAAAUUGCACAGCAUAUUCAAGAUGUGGUCUUACCAAUGAUUUUAAAAGAGUCAAAAUUGUAUUCUCAUCCUGCGAAUUAAUGCCCUUUUUCAUACAUGACAAUACCUUACUGGCCUUAGCCACUGCUGAUUGACAUUUCACAUUGUUGAAUAUUUUUUUGUCUAUAAUAAUUCCAAGUCUUUCUCAUGUGUUGUUAUCCCUAAUUCGCUUCCAUUAAGGGUAUCAGUUGCUUGUGCAUUCUUUACGUCGAAGUGCAUAACUUAGAAUUUUUCUACAUUAAAUUUAAUCUAUUCAUCUAUUACAUUUGUUGCAAUGCUGUGGUAUUUGCAAUUCACCAUCUUGCCAAAAUAGGAGAUGAGGCUUGUCAAGCAUAUGGUCAAACAUGCAGUCCACAGGUUGUUCUGUCUACCCAAUACUCCUGUAGAGAGCCAGGCUGUGACCCGAAGAUAUGUGGCUAUUUUGCAACUGGUCCAUUAGAAGUCUGGACACCAACAGCAAAUAUGAUGUUUUUGGCACACUAGUGCACUUCAUUCAGGUCCCUCCACUCCUCAAGCCCUGAGACAGGAGCAAAUCAGACAUGACUAAGGGAUCAAUGUGGGUCGGUGGAGNNNNNNNNNNNNNNNNNNNNNNNNNNNNNNNNNNNNNNNNNNNNNNNNNNNNNNNNNNNNNNNNNNNNNNNNNNNNNNNNNNNNNNNNNNNNNNNNNNNNUUAUCUUGUCGGCAAUUUAGAGAAAACGUCCUGUUAAAGUGACUUCGAUGAAAGAAGCAGCAACGUUCACCCCAUGUGCUGUAGUCCGUCCCUUAAGAAACUUCUCCACACUACUGUUAUUGCAUGGUGCAAAUGUUGAUUAUGUUUUACCUGAUAGAUCUCAUCACAGCCCAAACUGGUACAAGUUGAUCCCCAGCUUAGCCAUACCUUGCAUUGUAUGUCAACUGAAAUUUGGUAUNNNNNNNNNNNNNNNNNNNNNNNNNNNNNNNNNNNNNNNNNNNNNNNNNNNNNNNNNNNNNNNNNNNNNNNNNNNNNNNNNNNNNNNNNNNNNNNNNNNNCAUUGAUACAAAAUAUAAUAAUUGCACCUUGUACUACGUUAUGAAUUAUAUGUUGUGACGUCCGAAAAAAGCUGUGAGAAUUCAAAGUGAAUUUCACAUUAAAGGCCAAAGUAGCCAAACUAAAAUCAGAGAUGACUUGGAUACAUUUUCCAGUUUAGCUUUUUUUCACCUUAAAUUUGAAAUGAACUUUGAAUUUACUUAGAAUUACCACUUUAGUAAAAAUUUAGAAAUCCACACCACUAUAUUUAUCUCUACCCUGGAGCAGUGCUAACAAUGGAACAGAGUGGCUCACUGUCAAUCAUUAUUAGCACUGCCCAUUACUGUUAGUUAAAUAAAAACACAGCAUUUUCACCUGUCAAUCAAUACAGAGACCUUCUUACAAAUUGGGUCAAGUAGCUACAUGGCCAGUAGGGACUAAGUAACUGAAGUAUCAGAGAUAACAAUGUUUCUUAGUUUUCUUCCAAAUCAAUGUGUACCAUGUUUGUGCUAGGACAGAACUGAACUAAAUUGUGAUGAAAGUUUCUGUACAAAACAAAACAUUGCAUGAAAGAGGAUAACAAAAGUUAUCUUUUUUUUUCUCAAUGUAUAAAUUAAUGCUGUAAGAUGUAAGGGCAGUGACUUACCUAAGGUAUGGCAUGUGUCCUUGGCACCACUUGGAGGGGUCGGAGCUCAGGAAUGAACAUCUCAUCUGAUUUGACACUGACGGAAAAUCAGAAUAAAAAAAGAUGAGAUGCAUAGAUGUACAGAAUGGGGGCGCAUAAAUAUACAAUGUGUCGGGUGCUGGAGGCAGAGACUAAACAUAGAAGAGGAAGGGCAAAGGGGGCAAAUCUUUGUCACUGGCCCUGAUGUAGGGUGCGGGCAUCGCAGGGGCUGACAAUUGUGGGAAAGCAGGUAAUCUUUUCUUCUUUCCAGAUGAUUUUCAGACAGAGGGUGCCAGCAUAUGAGCACCGACUGCCUUGUAACUGUUCCACAUGUACAGGAAAAGGGAAGGAUACCCUGCUUCCCCAUGGUGACCAGGGACAUGGCCUCCUCUGGCUCUUCCCAUCAGUGUGUCAUGCCCUUGUGUCAUCAUGACAUCAUAUCCUGGCAGCCAGGAUCAGUACUCUCUGGGGACAGGCUUUAUUAGGGAAGAAGAAGAUAGGCAUCAUCAGCCCAGAACUGGCAUAGAGCAUCUGGUAGAGAAUGUGUACAGUGAGUGUUUGUAUUGGCCAGUUUGUGUGGCUUCUGUGUGUUAAUGUGUGUCAGUAUGGAUCAAAGUGUGCCAAUGUUUAAGUGUGUCAGUGAGCGUGUGUGUAGCGUAACUUACCUCUCCCUUUACUCCCUGCCCUAUCGUGGUUUCUGUUUCAGUUCCCUUUAGCGCUUGUUGUGUUCAGUUGGGUUUUCUUCAUAUUGACUUUGGCUUUGUUUCUGACUACGUUUUCUCUUUAUCCUUAUCUGUUCUGGUUGCCGGCUUGCUGUUUACUGUGUACCAGACCCCGGCUAGUCCUAGUUUACGCUGUCUCUCUGUGCCCUUGACUUCGGAUCGUUCCUGACUCUGUCUCCUCUCAUAUACGUCGAGUCCGGCCAUUCUAAGGUCCGGUAGACGUAUCUCUCCUCUGUGUUGUCUUCUGUUUAGCUGAAUCCUGCGUGUUGGGGUAUAUUCUCAUUACAUUACGAUAGGGCCAUGGACCCCGCAGAUUUGGCUCAGCAAAUGGCUUCUCACGAGGCAAGGUUUGUAGAGCAGGAUCACCGUAUGGAUCAGAUAGCACAGGCUCUCCAGACGCUCUUGUCUAGAACUAUCCCUGCAACCACACCUAACCCUCCUACGCCUCUUCUUCCCGAAGUAUCCAAUUCACCUAAUAUUUCGCCCCAUUUAACACCCCCUCCUAGGUAUGGAGGGGAAGCUAAGACAUGCAGAGGUUUUAUUAAUCAAUAAAACCUUGAGAUGUAUCCACAUUCCUUUCCCACUGAUAGGUCUAAAGUGGGGUUUUUGAUGCAUCAAUUUACUGACAGAGCACUUGAGUGGGCAAAUCCUAUUUGGGAGGCCAAUGGACCUACGGUGCAUAAUUUCAAUAGCUUUCUUAUGGCUUUUCGUAGAACUUUUGACACAACAAAAAGGUCAAAGAAUGCCGCAAGAGCAUUAAUGAGAAUUAAACAGGGUUUUAGGUCUGUGGCUGAUUAUGCUAUUCAGUUUCGUACCCUUGCUUCACAGGUAGAUUGGACCAAUAAUGGGUUAACUACUGCGUUCAUGGAAGGUUUAUCUGACACUAUAUUAGAUGAGGUAGCGGCAAGGGAGCUUCCUAUUCCAUUAGAGGGCCUUAUUGACUACCUCAUUGAUAUAGAUAAUAGGAUUCGUGACAGGCUCUAUACUAAGAACAGGAAUAGACGUUUGGUCACACCUAAUAACCCCAGAGUUGAUAAACCUGAGAGUGUUAAAGUAUCCGAGGAGGAACCCGUGCAAUUAGGGGUUGCCAAACUCUCGGAUACUGAAAAAUUACUUAGAAGAAGGAACGGACUCUGCCUAUACUGUGGUAGGCGAGACCAUAGGGUCUUCCGGAAACCUCUCGCACCUAAGACCUUAUAGAUGUGACUGGCCUUGGGUGUGAUAUCUAAGUCUCCUAAAUUGCCUCCUAGCCGUUUGCUUCUCCCUGUUUCCCUUCAUACGGGAGAGACUUGUAUAGCUGAAAACAUACUAGCCUUGGUUGAUUCCAGGGCUGCUGAGAACUUCAUUGACUCUGGGUUUGUUAUGAAAAAUAACAUUCCCGUCAGAGAGAGGGAGAUACCCUUGGCCAUUGAGGCCAUAGAUGGUAGACCUUUAAAUACUCCAGUCGUUACCCAUGAAACUGUACCAUUAUUCAUGUACACAGGGGUUUUACACUUUGAGACCAUUCAAUUUCAGGUAAUCACCUCUCCCUCUUCUCAUAUCAUGUUAGGGUACCCAUGGUUAUGUUCUCACAAUCCCAUUUUCGACUGGGAAUUGGGACAAUUAAAAUCAUGGGGCAAAACCUGCCACGACUCUUGUAUGAUUAAAGUCACCCCUUUAAAUACCAUUAAUGUUCCUACUACUCCUCCUUUGUCUACUGUUAUACCUCCUCAGUACUUGUUUCUCAAAACUGUAUUCAAUAAAAGGGAAGCUGAUAAAUCACCGCCUCACAGAUCCUAUGAUUGUGCUAUCGAUUUAUUGCCUGGCACUAUACCUCCAAAGGGCAGGGUGUACCCUUUAUCUAUUCAAGAAAACCGUAUCAUGGAGGAGUAUGUUAAAGAAUCGCUAGAAAAGGGGUUCAUUAGGAGAUCCUCUUCUCCGGCUGGAGCAGGGUUUUUCUUCGUAUCUAAGAAAGAGGGUGAUUUAAGACCGUGCAUCGAUUAUAGAGGUCUAAACAAAAUCACUAUCAAAAAUGCAUACCCUAUACCUUUAAUUACAGAAUUAUUUGACAGGCUCAAACAUGCUACUGUGUUCACCAAAUUGGACCUUAGAGGUGCAUACAAUUUAAUACGCAUAAAGGAAGGUCACGAAUGGAAGACUGCAUUCAACACUAGAUCCGGUCAUUACGAGUAUACUGUUAUGCCAUUUGGUCUUUGCAAUGCCCCAGCAGUAUUUCAGGAAUUUAUUAAUGACGUCCUAAGAGACUUUAUUUACACAUUUGUAAUUGUAUACUUGGACGACAUACUGAUAUAUUCUACAGAUUUACACACUCAUCACAGACAUGUCACAACGGUCCUGAAGACCCUUCUUGCUAAUGGUCUUUAUUGUAAACUAGAAAAAUGUUUAUUUGACCAAUCCGAAGUCCAGUUCUUGGGGUAUUUGAUUUCCACCAAAGGGUUUCGUAUGGAUCCCCAGAAACUUUCUGCUGUCAUAGAGUGGCCCCUACCACAGGGUUUGAAAGCAAUUCAGCGUUUUCUUGGUUUCUCUAACUAUUAUAGACGCUUUAUUAAGGGUUUUUCUUCUAUUGUAGCACCUAUCACCCGUAUGACAAAAAAGGGUGGUAAUACUCGUGUCUGGUCUCCCGAGGCACUUCAGGCUUUCGACUUUCUUAAAACUACAUUCGCCUCUGCACCUAUUUUACAGCACCCUAUCCCCUCACUGCCUUAUAUUCUUGAAGUUGAUGCUUCUGAUAUCGGGGUAGGUGCUGUUUUGUCCCAAAGAGAAUCGCCUGAAAAGCCAUUGCAUCCUUGUGGCUUCUUUUCUAGACAAAUGUCCAAAGCUGAAAGGAAUUAUGAUGUGGGUAAUCGUUAACUCUUUGCUAUUAUCUUAGCUCUUAAAGAAUGGAGACACUUGUUAGAAGGAACUAAGGAUCCUAUCCUCAUUUUUACAGAUCACAAGAAUCUAUCCUACCUUGGUGAAGCUAAAAGAUUAUCUUCUAGGCAGGCUAGGUGGUCACUAUUUUUGUCCCGUUUCAAUUAUAUUAUCACCUAUAGGCCAGGUGAUCGCAACAUUAAAGCAGACGCUCUGUCCAACAGUUCGAAACUACUGACAAACAGGAGGUUGAUGUUACUCAUGUCAUUCCCCCAGACAGGAUAAAAGCUACUACUAUGUUGUCUAUUUCUUCAUCCCUCUUGCAGACCAUACAGGCGAAACAAAGUAUGGCACCUAGCGAGAGGCCUAUUGAUAAAUUGUUUGUUGAUGUUCCUGAGAGACGGGAGAUUCAGUCAUUAUAGCAUGAUACUAAGACUGCUGGACAUCCUGGUAUUACUAAAACGAUGUCAGCAGUUUCUCGAUAUUUUUGGUGGGGUUCCUUACGCAAGGAUGUCACUGACUAUAUAAGUGCUUGUACUACUUGUGCAUGUAUGAAAACGUCUCGUAGAGUUCCUUGUGGGGCUCUGCAUCCCUUACCCGUUCCCGAGAGACCUUGGUCUAACCUAUCCAUGGAUUUUAUUGUUGAAUUACCCCCUUCGAAUGGUAACACAGUCAUCCUGAUGACAGUAGAUCGGUUUUCCAAGAUGGCUCACUUUGUGUCUCUUCGGAAGUUGCCCACAUCCAAGGAACUGACUCUAAUCUUCGCUAGAGAAGUAUUUCGGUUACAUGGUAUUCCCGUAUCUAUUGUGUCCGAUAGGGGUAGCCAAUUUAUUUCCAGGUUCUGGAAAGCCUUUUGCUCAGAAAUUGGUAUUUCUCUCUCAUUUUCUUCUGCUUACCAUCCCCAGUCUAAUGGAGCUGCUGAACGUGCCAACCAGUCUCUGGAGCAGUACGUUCGUUGUUUUGUGUCUCACCAUCAGGACAAUUGGUCUGACCUACUUCCUUGGGCUGAGUUUGCUCGGAAUAACGCCACUCAUGAUUCUUCCGGCAAAAGCCCUUUUUACGUUGUCUAUGGCCAGCAUCGCGUUGUUCUUCCGGCUGCAUUCUCCUCCCAGUUCUGGAUGAGCAUUUGGCUGGUUUGCGUAAUACUUGGGAGCAGGUUCAGCGUUCUUUGGUGGAUUCCGCUGCUCGCCAGAAGGCUCAGGCUGACAAGCAUCGUAGAGCUGCUCCUUCUUAGGUUGUGGGGGACAGGGUUUUGCUUUCCACGUGGAAUAUUCGCCUGCGGGUGCCUUCUAUGAAAUUGGCUCCCCGCUUCAUAGGUUCUUAUCGUAUUCUGCAUAAGGUUAAUCCUGUUUCAUAUGCCUUGGGUCUUCCUAGGAAUCUGCGUAUUCCUAAUGUCUUUCACACCUCGUUGUUGAAGCCUUAUGUACGCAACCGCUAUACCCGGCAUUCUCCGCCUCCCCUUCCUGUCUCCGUGGAGGGUCAUGAGGAAUUUGAAGUUUCUGCUGUUCUUGACUCUCGUUACCUUAGGGGUCGACUUCAGUACUUGGUGCAUUGGAAGGGUUAUGGGCCUGAGGGGGGGGUACUGUAGCGUAACUUACCUCUCCCUUUACUCCCUGCCCUAUCGUGGUUUCUGUUUUAGUUCCCUUUAGCGCUUGUUGUGUUCAGUUGGGUUUUCUUCGUAUUGACUUUGGCUUUGUUUCUGACUACGUUUUCUCUUUAUCCUUAUCUGUUCUGGUUGCCGGCUUGCUGUUUACUGUUUACUGUGUACCAGACCCUGGCUAGUCCUAGUUUACGCUGUCUCUCUGUGCCCUUGACUUCGGAUCGUUCCUGACUCUGUCUCCUCUCAUAUACGUCGAGUCCGGCCAUUCUAAGGUCCGGUAGACGUAUCUCUCCUCUGUGUUGUCUUCUGUUUAGCUGAAUCCUGCGUGUUGGGGUAUAUUCUCGUUACAGCGUGUGUAUGUGUAUCUGAGAGCCUGUGUAUUGGACAAUGAACCUGUGUGUCUUUGAACAGAGACUACGACCGGAAGCCAAGAUAAAGACAACAAGGAAUGAAGUUAGUAAACUGGAACAACUUAGAGGUGGAAAGAUCAAGGAUAUAUCCUGGCUAUGCUAUACAAGGAUAUGCCCAUACCAGAGUAGCCCACAUAAACCACAAGGUGGUCAGCCCCAGGACCUGAUAUGAUCCAUACCUGCAGGAUUAAGAAAUUAACAAUCCUGCAUGAACUCCUAGCAUAAAUGAACCAGCUAUUAGCAACAAGAUCCCACCCUGACGUGCUAACACAAGGCAAUACUGGUCAUGAAGGACCCUCGCAAGGGAACAACAUCAUCUAACUACUGACCAAUCACCUGCCUAAACAACAUAGAAUGUCCUGUCAGGCUUCAUAGCCUCCAAGAUACUGCACAUAUAAGUCACUACCUGAGUAAUGCUCAGAAUGAGAUCAAAACACCAACUACUGAUAGACCAAGAAGUCACUCGGGAUUCUACGACCAAACAGAUUAAAUUUGGCUCUUGGCUCUAUACAAGGUCAACAAGACAGUAAGAGCAUUCAUUAAGAACUCGAUGGGCAAGUGGAAAACAACUCUAGAAGUCAAUUCCAGGACAAUAACACUAUCACCAAUGCUGUUCUGCCUCAACCCCUUCAGCCAGAUCAUCAAGAAGCGUUGAGAACAGGUACAAGUACCUGGGGGUACUACAAACACAUGGCAAACAUGAGGAAGAGGCAAGGAGUAUAGCAACAUCCAAGUACCCUGAGAGAGUUAGACAGGUUCUCUAGUCCCAGCUCAAUGGCAAGAACAAGAUCUAAGCCAGCAACACAUAUGCCCUACCAGUCAUCAGGUACCCAGCUGGAAUAACAACCUGGCCAAGAGAAGAACUGGUCACCAUUGGUGUCAAGACCCAUAUUUCAAGGAGGGAGCUGCAUGCCGGUAGCAACCUCCUUGUAAUAAACUGAACGAACAAACGAACACUGAUACUCAGUGUUAGUUUGUUCAUCUGAUUUUUCUAUUCAUUCAUUCAUCUUUCUGACGAAUGAAUGAAUAGAUGAAAUUCCCGUUCGCAUGCCCAAGUGUUUCACUGGGCAUGUGCGGGAAUCUCAGUGCUAUCUAGUGUGGGCAGAUGACUAUAGUGUGGGCACAGGGACUUCCUCUACCCACACAAAGAUGGCGGCGCCCUGAAUAUAGGUCAGGGCAGAAAAUAAAGAAUAAAAAAUAGGUAAUAUGGGGGGCUUAGGGACAUUUGGGGGUGACUAGGGGGUCAAUUCGAUGUAGUGGAGGUGGGAGGGAGGUUAAAAAAAACUACGGGAUUCGGCCAUGACAGUGCCGCUUUACUGUGUGUGAUUUCUGAGAGUAUUAUGCAUUUAUACAUACAAUGCAUACAAAUGUGUAUUUUACUAUAUAUAUAUAUAUAUAUAUAUAUAUAUAUGUUUGAAUAUAAGCAUAAUUUUAUAAAUUAUAUUUAGAAUAUAUACACAAACAUGAGCAUAAUACACAUGCAUUAAUAAACAUGUAUAUAUGCAUUAUACACUCAGAAAUCCCAUACAUGUAUAUAAAAUGUUGCAUUCCUGACAAGGAUAUUCACUAAACUUUGAAUAGGCCACUAUAGAAAAAUUCUCAAACUUCACUAUUGUGAUAGCAUGAAUAAUUUAGCCUAAAUGUUGGAAUUAAGAUUUUCAUUUGCAAAAAAUCUUAGUUUAGUGAAUAAGCCUGUCUGUGUCCAGGGCUCUAGUCAGGUGCCCUAAACGGAAAUUAUUUGUGUCUGGACAAGUACAUUGCCAUGACAAACAAGCAAUUGGGCUACAGCUUUAGUCCCAUGGGCAAUUUGAUUUUUAUUUUAAAUUCCACACUCCUUGUAGUGAAAAAAAGAAUAUUCUUCAGAUGUAUCAAAACACCAUGAAACCUUUCUUUUCAAAGAAGAAAGAAAAUGGAGCUAAAGGAUGUGAAAGAAAUGAAAGAUGGAGCAGGGGAAGCCAAGAAAUGGAGAAAAUUCUUCAUGACCUUCUUUGAAAAGCCUGAAACAAGUUGUUUGACACUUUUCAUAGAGUCACCUGUACCUGUUACAAGUUUGUUGUAAUCUGAAGGUGGAUCAAGUAAAAGAGAUUACAAGUGAAGAGGCCAGACAGUACAUGACAGAUGGGAAGACGAUGGGAAUGGUGAUGAUGAUGUUGUCUUUAUUGACAAGAUUUUACCUGACAAUAUUGAAUCUGAUGACAUUGAACUUGUGAAUUGGAUGAUGUAUGUAUGGAUAGCUGUGUCUUACCUACCAGAAGUGAUUAGUCAGCAUGACAUUGAACUUCUAAAGUUUGACAAGGAUACUAGAAAAAAUAUUCUGACUGACAUAUUGAGAAGAGAAGCAAUAAAGAUUGUUUCAAAGUAUUUCUAGAACAGUGAAGGGCCUUUCCUACCAACAAAUGAUUGCUCAAUGAACAAAACGUGGUUCAUAAAUAAAUUGAGAAAUGGUCUGUUGCGAAAGUGACUCACUCAUGGCUAGCCAAUUCCCCUUCUAACAUGUCUGCAUUUUGUAUCUAUUGUGUUCUCUUUUCCUGGCCAAACCAUCAAUCCUCAUAGAAGCAGGAAAGCAGAUACAACCAGUGGAAAGCACCUGAACAAAUUAGUGUUCAUGAAAAUACUAAGAAAUAGCUCAAAACAAAGGUUUUUGAUGUGGAACGUCAGUCACAGAUUGAGAAGAAAAAGCAAAAGUGGCAAGGACAUGGGGAGUUACUUCAGCUGGAUGAUGACUCCAAUGUGAGAAAUUUCCUUGGCUUACUGAAACUACUGGCCAUCUUUGACCUUGUCAUGAAAGAAACCCUCACUUGUGUCAAAAGUCAUACUGAAUCCAUAUCUUAUCUUUCACUAGGUGUCCAGAACUAAUUAAUUCACAUAAUGGCAUUCACCAGAGUUUACUGAGAAGCAUUUGUAAAGCCAAGUCAACUCCUGAUCAGGCACACCGUGAGCAGAUGUCAAAAAUAGUGAUGUACGUAGAAGUCAGUGUUAAAAGAAAAACAUUCCUUGGUUUUAUACAGAUAAGGAUGCUGAGAGCUUGGUUGAAGACACCUUGAAACAGCUAGAGGAUGACAAAAUGGAACUACAUGAUUGUCAGUCGCAGUGCUAUGACAAUGCUACUGUGAUGGCUGGACACAGAAAUAGUGUUCAUCAAAGAAUAAGUGAGAAAAAUAACCUGGCUUUGUUUGCGAAUUGCAACAAUCACUCACUCACUAACUCAACUUGGUGGGUGUACAUGCAGCCAAGCACGAUACAAUGAUGGCCACAUUUUUCUGGAACCAUUGAAGCUCUCUAUGUGUUCUUCUUUUGUUCAUCAUAGUGCUGUAAAAAAACUCUGUGUGGUAGUUAAGUCAGAGUCUGAAACUAGGUGGAGUGUAAGGGCAGAAGCAGUGAAACCUGUCAACAACUACUUUGAGGAGGUACUUCUAAUCCUUCAGGACAUGAUACACAAUUAAUAUAAAACCAGAAGCAAGAAGUGAAGUAAGGCAGCUAUAUAACUAAAUGUUGAGUUGCAAUUUUCUGACUUUGCUAGGAUUUUAGAAUAAAGUAUUCAUGCACAUUGACUGUAUUCGAAAGAGGCUGCAGUAACCUAGCCUGAACUUCCAAAAUGCUACUUUGGAUUUGAAAGCCUAUAGAGAUCAUUUUGAUGAUUAAAGAGAAGUGUUGGUCAGUGAGUCACUUGAAGAAGGACUCAGUCAUUGUCAAGAAUGGAAUAUUGAGUUGAAAGACAUCAGAGACAAAAGAAAACCCAAGAGAUGCUAUGCUAACAGUCAAUGAGGAGAUGAAAAGAGGAACACUUGACCUUCACAGAGAAAUGGAUUAAAGGUUUGCCCAUCUGCAUGACACGGACGCCAAGUUUGGGUUACUUCUCGACAUCGAAGGACUGUACCUGCAGUAGUGACCUAAAUAAUAAGUCGGAAUUUUUGGGCAAAUUCCACAGCUGUGAUGUUGAUGAGCAACAGCUAUAGGAAGAAAUUUUAUAUAGCAGAAUAUUGCUAUUAAGUAGGACCAACAUAAAAAAAAUCAAGCCCUAUAGAGCUAAGUUAACCAUUGCAGUUUUUAUUGCCAGCUGUGAAAGAUCAGUUAGCAAGUUUCAAACUAAUACUUUCAUAUUUGAGAGCCUCUAUGGAUUGAGACAGACUCUGUGAUCCUGCUCUGCCGAGUGUAAAAAGUGAGGAAACGGAAAAAACUGACUUUGAGCAGUGAAAGCAAGGAAGGUGCAUUUAUAAUUUCCAUGGAGUGCAAUAAUUUGUUAAUUAAAGGAUUAACAAGCUUACCUUACAUUUUUGAGCUGAUAUUUUGUUAAAGUCAUCUAAAUCUAAAGGAUGGGUGUCAGAUGUUUGGACAUGUUUGCAAUAAGCACUAUUUUCAGUAGAUACACCUCUAUGUGAAAGUGUUACUGAAGUGCAGAACACCAAACAGUAGUUAGCUACGAAUCCUGAGCACAGAAAUACCCUUUGUAUACCUGUGCUAUUUGUACAUGGAGUUACAAGAUGGAUUUAAAUAUUAAAUUUUUUUUUUUCAAUUUAGAACAUUUACGCUGGGUCUGUAGUUUAAUUUAGGGAAUUUUAGCAGCUUAUUAGUUCAGAACACUACAAAAAGGCAUAACUUUUUAAAACGUAGAUACCGCUGGGUAUCUCACAUGUUGUGUUUUUAGCCUUACUGUUUUUUUUACUGUACCCAGGAAUGUAAUAACACAAGAUGCCUACCUUAAAGAUGCUGUGGUCUGUGACACCUGUCAUUCUUAGAUAGCUUGGUAACAUAACCUUAAAGGUAGUAUUUACUAAACCAUAUGUCCUCCAUAAAACUAAGCCACACUUAACCCUAUGGUCCUCUACCCUUAAACACUCCUUAUCCUAUAUCCCCCAAAUCAUAAGUCUAAGUCUCUCAUUCCCUGAACCAUUAGAGAUCCCCUAAGCUACCCCUAAAACUAAGUUAUCUCCAAUGUCACAUUCACUGAUGACAUCAACAGAGGGAUUUCCCCAUUGUAUUCUGAACUGUACUUUUGCAACUUUAAACGGUAUAUCAGUGAGUCCCUGUCCGAACACACACAGUGUUCAGCACAGAACACCCAUACAACGCCCAUUGUUGAUCAUUGUGUUCAGGCUGGUGGGUACCUGCAGGUAGACCUAGUCUGUUCUUUUUUUACUUAUGUACAAGAUAUUUAAUACCAUUUUGGUACCAGGUAACACCCCCACAAAAUGAUUGUUACUUUUAUCUUUUCCACAUCUGACAAAUUAGAGGGAUACUAAAGGUACCAAAACAAAUUCAGCUUAAUGAAUCAGUUUUGGUGUAUCAAGCCCCUGCAGUCUCACAGCUCAGUUCUCUGUCAAUAAGAAGGAAAACCACUGUUUUCAAUUUAGAAUUUCGGGUCUCAUGCUUUGUUUAUAUCCUUCUAGACCCUGCAUGAACCUUCUGUGUGUAUGAUUAAAGUUCACUUUACAGAGCAUGAGAUUAAAAACUUCUAAAGUAAGUUAAUAUAUGAUUGAAAUGUGGAUAGAAGGAUAUGAACAGAGCAGAUAAAAACUCUAUGAAGCACUGACUUUCAACUUCUCCACACUCUGCAUGGAGACACUGAACAUUCCCAUAGAGAUGCACUGAUUCAAUGCAUCUCUGUGGCAUAGCACAGCAUGCAGAGCCAGGUGGGGCUGGGAGAGAAAGGGUGAGUAAAGUCACCUUUUUAUUGCAAUCAGAGGAGAGACGGUAACCUAAACACUUCUGGACUACAGUGUCAGAAAUACUAUAGUGUCCCUUUGAUAUUAAGGUAUUUUCAUGCAUUCUAAAUGUUAACUAUUCUGAUCUGUGUACACAGUGCCUGCAGCUCUAACACUUCUUUACAUAUAUAUACCAAUGGGACGNNNNNNNNNNNNNNNNNNNNNNNNNNNNNNNNNNNNNNNNNNNNNNNNNNNNNNNNNNNNNNNNNNNNNNNNNNNNNNNNNNNNNNNNNNNNNNNNNNNNAAAAAACAUUCAUAUUUGACAGCUGCAUAUGUGCAUAUUUCUACCUGUAAAUUUUUAUUGUUGAAGUGCAAAGAUACACCAAGGAUAUUGUCAAAAACAUCAAAAUUGUCAUCAGUAUACAUAGCCAUAUCCAUCAAAUAACAUAGACGCAGAAAACUGCAUAUUUUUAAGGAGUAAUAGUAAAGACGAAAAGAUCACAGUGCUUAGGGAUUAUGACUAAAGAAAAUAACAGAACAGCCUAUCAGAUGUACUGGUAGCAAGUUUAAUAGGCUGAGGUCACGAAUAGAGCAAAUAAUAUGCAGGCAGACUUCAGGAUAUGCAGCAAUAAAAGUGUGUUAACCUCUAUGCCUGAUGAAACAGAGAAAGCCCUGCCAGAGCAUAAUAACAUUUAUCACAGCCUGAAUGUACUUGUAUGAGGCCACUGAAGCCACCAACUGAUAACCACAUACGGCAUAGCCGAUACACAUUAAGAUAAACGUAACCAAACAAAUAUUACAAAAGAAAAGACAAGCUGCUAUCUCAUGGACCUUGAUUCACCUGACCCACAAUGCUGAAAAAAUGCUCUUUAGCAACCCUCUGAGGAUGCAUCGAGGACAGUGUGCUCCUUCAGCCCCAGGCCUUCUCACACACCAACAUGUGAUACCCACAGACCUGUCCACUCUCGAUGGACAAAUCAAGAUCUCUGGGGGGUCCACCAGGGCAAUCCCUCCUGGACAUUGCCUCUCCAAGGCGCUUUGCCCAGGUAGGUUGCUGCCAGAAGACUCUGUCAUUAUUAGGUUAGUCUCCUGUGGGGAUCAAAAUAACCCCAUCAGUUCAAAGGAGGGGGUGGGACCAACUAUAUGUGGUGUUGAAGAGCCUGCAUGAAUAACUGUAUGAGAUACAAAAAAAAAUGUUUUUUCAAUUGUUUAUGAGCACUGGGUAAUAUAUGCUUUAAGAGUUGGAGUGUAAGGUAUUGGGGGGGAAAAAAAUAAUAAUAAUAAUAAUAAUAAAUAUAUAUAUAUAUAUAUAUAUAUAUAUAUCCACGUGGGUCCAGCACUCACUCUCACGGCCUUGUGUUUGACUGGGUGCUUACUUCAGCCAAAAAAAGUCUACCACUGGACUGAAAUGUUGACACUAUUUUUGGUGUCUUAAAUUGCACAAUAAAAGAUUGAAGAUUCUUCUGUUGAGUCCUGUGAGUGACUUUCCCUGGAUUAUUUAUAUAUAUAUAUAUAUAUAUAUAUAUAUACAGGGCCGGACUGGGAAAAAAAUUAGGCCCGGGCAUUUUUUGAUCAGAGCGGCCCCCUAAGUAGGGGGUGGGGCUAGUGAGGGUGUGAUUUGUCAUCACUAAUGACAAGCACACCCCCUCUCAAGGUGAGCAUAUUGGUUCAAUGUGCAGAGCCCUGCUGAAGAGCUCUAGCAUUAGAAAAAGGCCCUGUAUUUGUUCUGUGCAGCGCAAGCAAAUGUGUUGUGUUUGCUUUUAAAUUGUCUCUGGUGUCUCCACAAGUGGGAUACCAGAGGACAAAAGGGCCAGGAAUGCGUAUGGUGCAUGUGUUUGGAGACUGCUUGUGGGAUUGCGUGUGUAGAGUGUGGUGUGGUAUUGUGUAAAUAGGUCAAUUUCAUUUGUGUUUGUGGUGUAAUAUGUGUGGCUAGGGGCAGUGUGUGUGUAGGAGAUCUAAUGUGUAAAGGACUGUCUGGGGGUGUUGUGUGUGUCUGGGUGCUGUGUGUGUCUGGGGGUGUUGUGUGUGUCUGGGGAUGUUGUGUGUGAGUGUGAAUUUAUUUAUUUAAAUUUAAAUAUAUUUUUUAUUAAUAAUUUUUAAAAAGUUAUAUCCCCCCCCCUUCUUACCUUUAGCCUGGGAGUGGGGGAGCCAUUCUGCCUGGGAGGGGGAGCUGUUCUGCCUGGGGGUGGGGAGCCGUUCUGCCAUGAGGGGGGCCGUGCAGCCAUCCUUCCCUGCAGGCUAGAGUUAACUCUCACAAGAUCUGAGCUUUGCCGCGGUAACCGCGGCAAUGCUCAGAAUACCGCGAGAGGACCCGGCGGAGUUGCUGGCCUGGGCUCCAGCGGGUCCUCGCCUCCCUCCCCAGCUGGCGGCCGCAUCUCCAUGCCUGUGGGCCGGUGAGGGAGAUCUUUGAGCGCUGGCCCUGCAGGGGCUGGCAGGGGAGAUCCUGUGAUCUCCCCUGCCGGCCUCGGCGCCACAGCCAUCGUGGCCCACCGGGCAUUUGCCCAGUAUGCCCGAUGGUCAGUACGGGCCUGUGUAUAUAUAUAUAUAUAUAUAUAUAUAUAUUCCAAAAGAAUUGCACCAGGGUACAAAAAAUAAAACAAAUUUGCUCCUCACUUUCCUUUUUGUUUAAUUUGUGGCUUAUUAUUAGAGAGAUACUAUAAGCAACUGAGCAGUGAGACUGCAAGGGCAUAUACACCAAAAAUGCCUCAUUGAGCUAAAAUUAAUAUCCGUUUCAUGUCCUUGUGGGUUAUGCCCUGCACUGGGUGUAAAUAGGGUAGCUCAUAGCAUUGGGUGUAAAUUGGUGUAGCUGGUUUAAUAUCUUUUAACGUUCUAUUAAUACAUUUGCAUUAUAUCUCUAAUGUUUCUCAGCUUUGUUUGUGGUGUGGUUAUCUCUUUAUUGUACUCCGCUUUAUGUAUUUUGUAGAUAUCUUUAUGUGUUUUAUUGUAUGAGCAUCUCUGUCUUAUGCCCAGCUCUCUGUAUUGUCUGAGUAUCUCUGUCCUGGAUAGAGAGGAGGAGUCUGGCACCAUCUUGUGCCAGUUGCCACUGAUGCUUAGUCAAGUUUCUGUGUCCAUGGAGGACUUUUAAUAGAUAUGCGCGUGAUGCAGAGCAGUAUAUCCUGCAAGAUCAGUAGAUGCACAGCUUCCUGGGCUACUUACGGUUUUGCUGCAGUGGGCUGUGAUAGUAUUUGUUUCUUCAGCUGAGCUCUGUAAAUGGUUUAAUUUGCAUCAAUACUUAGUUCAAAGCACCCAUAAUCAAGCUCCACCUACAGGUGUGACAAACCAGCGUUAUAUGAGAUCAAAGUCAAAUUUUAGAUCCAUUAAGCCUUUGAAGUCCUUCUUGUAAAACAGUGUUUGUAACAGAUUCUACAUAUUGAUUUUCCCUCCCCAAUGCAACCUAUGAUUCUUCGGGUGAUACUAAAGCAUCUAGAAUUCUCAACAUUUGGAUGUCGGUAGUUACUGUUCAUCAGAAUCGUUGGCUAGUUUAGCAACUGUGCUACGUGUUGCUCAUAAUACAAAAUGGCUCAUUAUCUAACUAUUUCAAUUAUACGUAUUUUAAUAUCUGUCAUAUUUUUGUAUGAUUUCAAUUUUCUUCUGCUUAUGUUUCUUUGCUUUAUCUUGGUUUCUGGUCUUUUUGUGUUUUCUACUUUGAGCUGUGUAAAUAUACGGAAAUCUGUUGUUGACAUUCUAUUGUUAAGUCAAGUCAGAAUGUUAAUGAAUUUGCAGAAUUUAGCUUUGUUUUAUUCUCCCUGCUUUUAGUCAGCGCAUGCUGGUUCCGUAGAGCUGUUAUACAAUAAUGCUAAGAACCAUUUAUUUCGGAUAUUUGGAGGAUUUCUUGCAGUGGCUGCAAGACAAGAGAACUGCAUAUUUUACUGUUUUAGCUACACCUCCAAUGAAAAAAGGCAUAAUUAAAUACAUGCAUGCAUGUUUUCAUUUGUAGUAUAUCUACUUAACAGUGGAUUUUAUUUGUCAUUGUAUUUGAGCAGUGGAGUGUCCUUUUAAGAUGUGUUUUAUUCAUUUGUUUCUGAAAAGUUCUGUAAGAGGUAGUUGGUGCUUCUGUCUCAGACUAGGAAAAGACUUUAUGCCUGUCUCAUCUAUGAGAUGUUAGUAACUUACUCUCUGUGAUCCUUGCAUGAGAUCUUCCUAAUUUGAUUGAGAUGCUGCAUAUCAUUAGUUUAAUACUAUCCUUACCUUUUGUGUCACUUGACAGGCGCACAUAUGCGCUAACCUUACCCACACCCCCAUUAAAACACAGGUUAUACUGUUGGAAAUAAUUAGUCCACAGCUUCAUUAAAUUAUUAAUAAAAUAAUUAAAGAAUAACAAAUGGGGUCAUUGCCAACAAAUCUUAUUAAAGUUAACAUUCCCCCCAUAUACAUAACAUACCCCUAGCAAUGACCCCACAAUAAUAAUAAUAGAUAAUCUAAAUAACAUGUUAAUACAGAAACUGGUCGCCCAAUAUGACCACAUUUCCACCAGGUUAAAUUGUAGGGGUGUACCGAGACACCGCUACCUACCAUAUCGGUUGUAGGGGUGAACCAAGACACCGUUACCCACCAUUUCCAGUGUAGGGAGUACCAAGACACCUCUACCCACCAGUUCCAGUGUAGGUUGUACCAAGACACCACCACACCCCCAGGUUUGAAGCCACCGACGGGCUCGAACCUACCAACCACGUGCAACACUGCCCAAUCCACACUAAACCUCAGGAUGCCCACUUUCUCCUCCAUCUACCCUCCGAUUAAUCCAGGCCAUUCCCCGCCGCUGUGAAAAAAACAGGAAAUUAACUAACCUAACCAAAUACAGUGAGGGUGGGAGGGACAACUGACAGGUAAGUUUAGGUUCAGUUAAAAUGGCCACUUCAUAUAAUGGCUGGUAUAAAUACUCCCCUUAUGGCUCCGCCCUACCCAGCAUGCUAGCUGUCACUAACUUCCUGUGGCUGCUAUGCCUACCUCCUGGCUCUGUCAAGGCCUAUUCCUCUUAGCUGCGCUGACCCAUGGGCUACAUUUACCCCACUCCCUCUAGCAUGUAAGCUCAUUGAACAGGUCCCUCAACCCCUCUGUUCCUGUGUGUCCAACUUGUCUGGUUACAACAACAUGUUUGUUCGUCCACCUACUGUAAAGCUCUGCGGAAUUUGUUGGCGCUAUAUAAAUAAUAACAUAAUAAUAAUAAUGAAUAGACAAAGAGUGGACAGCCAAGCACAAUGCAAUAUCGAUAUUUUACGGAAUAAGGAGGUGUCUUUAGACACCCAGGUCUUCAGUGAGUGUGUUAUGGUGGACAGGGCACGAGAGAGCACUUGAGUAGUUGUUCUCUGUGGUGCUACCAUUAGUUGCAGGAGGAGUUUUCUAUGUUGAGCCAAAGCGGUGUGAAGGCACUUGUGCACAGCAAGAGAAGUUGUGCGAGUUUGGUAGCGUAGUAGUAGUUUCUAAUAUUGGGGAUACCUAAGCCUCACAUUUCCAUUGGUAACUGGCAUGUCUUACUGGAGAUCUAAAGAGGGCAUUUUUUUCUAUAUGUAUGAGGUUUAAUCCAUUUGAAAGUCCUUAAACACUUUAUCAGGAAUUUGGAUGGGCAAUGCAUCUAAGAGGUAUAGAAUUGUAGGCAACCCAACCCCAAGGUCUUGUGUUCAUGGAGGAAUUUAGCCAUUAUAAUUUUGAAGUCUGCUUGCACUGAAGAACAGAGUGAAUACAGCAUUUCCAUUUCCAAUGCUGUGUCGGAACCCAGCGAGGGUGCACGCCUGUAGCCACCAUCUUGCCUGGUGCCACCAAGGUAGUCUUGCUGUUUUAAUGGAUUCGGUGUUCCGCUGCUGUUUCGAGUGUGCCAUGUGGGUACCCCAAGGGUCUGCUAAAUGUUUUGGUCCUGUUUUUUAUCCUGAUGCAUGGUGAAUCACUUUGGCCUCCACCAGGUCGUAGCUAUUUGAACCCCUAAUGAUUAUUUUUGUUUCAGGCACAACAGAAUUGAUAUGGGUAAUAUGUCACUCUUUUAUAUACUGAGGAGGAAAUUUGGUUCAAACUUUAUUUGUUCAAACGUUUUUAUUUGUCAGAAGAUAAAAUAUUUUAAAAGGUAGUAAGAGACCUUAGGUUUGCCUGAACAAGCUUUAAGUCACUAAUCAUGUUUGUCAGUGUGUUUGGCCAAAAACAGAUGUUUGUGUUGGGGAUAUUCUCAUAGGGAUCAUUAAAUAAAUUCAGUUGCUUUACAAUCUUAAAAAAAAUGUUGUCCCCCUUAGACAUUUCAUUAGAAGCACCUGCUUAUGCUGGACUAAAGUGGUGCCAAAGCAGACAUGGCUACCCAUCCAAAGACGUAAUCCUUUAUAGAGAGUGUGUAAAAACAUUAACAGGGCAUUAUCAACAUUUUAGACAUUUAUACAAGGCUUUUUAUUUAGACAGUGCAAGCUGUUUUUUUUUUGUAUUGAUAAUACAACAAAAAAUGUUAUUAUAAUUUAAAAAUGUAUAGAGUUAUAGAGUUGGGGGUUUGGUGGGAGCUGGCACUUCAGGAGUUUAAUCUCGAGAUUUGUGUUAAAAAAGCCUUUUUCCAAUUAUUUGAUGAUGAGUUUGUAAUUUUAAACUGGCAAUCUGGCUAUGUUAGGGUAGACAGGCUUUAAAGAUGAGUAGUUUAAAGUAAACAUCAUUCACCUGUAUCCUUAAAAGUUUGGUCAUUUAAAUGCAUUUUAAAUUCACAAAAAGCUAAACACUCCAACAAAAAAAGUCAUGUUCUUAUACAUACUUUCUGUUUGUGUCUGUAAUUGAUGUGCUUUAUGUCUAAUGGUAUAAUUGUAUAUGGUAAUAUAUAAUGGUAUAAUUGGGGCAUACCACAAAGAAUAAGUAAAUCUAUAUCAGCCAAAUUCUCCAUUAUUCUCUCUGCAUCAGGCAGCAGACUUCUCUGAACCUCUGCUUUCUUGAAAUACUCCUGUCCUUCGACACAUUUUCUCCUCUAUAAGUCCAGUUUUAUCAUCAGCUCACUCCUCUUGACAGUUUUUUAUUCUUAUAGUAUUCUACACCUUUUGAGGCUAUAUUUUGCCAUAGGUAUUGUCUGUCAGAACCCGAUUUCAUUGCCCCUCUCAACAUUCAUACGUUUCUUUUGUCUCCUUCAAUAAUAGUCACAACCUCUCCUCCAAAAGCACGAACCCCACCUCCAUAAGUCCCCCUCUUUCAUUAGGUAGCUUCUCCAGAUCAGGACAGCAUGCAGUUUACAGGUGCCAUCUAGUGAUGGGAGGAUUCACCUCUGGGUUGAUUUUAUUGCCAAUGGGAGACAAAAAACAAACAUUUAGCAACCAUUUACUUUGUUAACUUAUCAAUUAAGUUAUGGUGGUCCUCACAGGAGGUCCUGUGAGCCAACUUACCUUAAGGGAUCGAACUGUUUACAAACUGUUUAAAAAAGAAAGUUGUGAAAAGAGCACAGCUUGUUCUUAGCUUCAACGAGAAAGUCUUGGAAUGGGCUGAUACUCAAAUAAUCACAACUUCCUAUUCACAAAACUGUGUAAGAAAUAUUUCAGAUGAAGUUGUUAUGGUUUCCUGAGUGUUCCUUAAAAUUAUGUACCUUUCAAACAGGUGCUCUAUUGUACAGCGCUAUGGAAUUUGCUGGCGCUUUAUAAAUAAAAUAAUAAUAGUUUUUCUUUCUAUUUAUAUCUACUAACAAUUGGUAGCACAGUUAGACCAGUCAAAGCUGCCCACAGGAGGCAGCCCACUGAAAAAUGAUGUGAUAUCCCAGCAGGUCAGUCCAGCCCUGCAGAGAGGAUAAAUUGGCCCUCCAGUAGGAAGUACCUGAACAUACAGGAGUACCUGGAGAUACCUGGCAAGCCCCCGGCACAUGUAUGCUUUUUACCUGAUCUUUUCUUAUAUCAAACAUCCUUAUGCAAGAUGAUGUCACCUCUAGCUUCUGUUUAUCAGGGUUCUUACCUGAGAUGGGAGUCUGUAGAACAGAUAUGUUUGCUCACCCUUGCAGAUAGACGCAGUCCAAGGUGACCAGAUAAGAAGCCACCUGGACUGUGAAUCUGUGCAGGAAAGGUGAUUCCAAUGCAGUUCCGACAAGGACACAAACAGCAUGAUAGUCAGGGGAUAGCCGAAGUCAAAGGAUGCCAGAGGUCAGGAUUAACGAAGUGUAGCUGAAGUCAAGAGAUGCCAGAGAUCAGGAUAAACGAAGACAGAAGCUGGGUUCAAUAUGGAGUACCCUGCUCAUUACUGAUCUGUCUCAGGUGAAGCACAGCAAUAGACGAAGUCCAGCCCCCAGUGCUGCAGACAAGCCAGGUAGAACAGGGCUAGAAAUACUCCAAAGAAUAAGAACUGCUGUGGCUGAAAGGCAGUAUAGCAGGAAAAGGACCCCUGUUGGGCACUUCUGGGGCGACUACGUAUGGCCGUAUGGAUGUCACGGUGAGAACCAUGACACUAUUCAUAUUAACUUGUUUAUUUAUUUUUUGUUAUUUUAAUAACACACACACACCCAUUGUAAAGCAAUGGAACUAUACAAACAAAAUAAUAAUUAUGUUAAACAUACAUAUGAAAAACUUGCAUGUAUAUUUAAAUACCCCUACAGAACGUGAGAUGUUUGAAAUGUUGCUGUUUGUAAUUUUUUUUCUAGAAGUCCAAACACAUUAUGAGCUAGAAGCUGCUGUAAGAGAAUACUGGAUGUGUAGAGGGUGCAGACGAAUUGCCUUCUCUUCCCUGCUGACAUAGCAUAUGCAGUUCCAGAAAGGUUCUAUCAAGGUAUGCAAAGUUUCAUGUUUAUAUUUGUUAAUUAUAUAGCCCUUGCUAGUGUUGAUCCCCAUUUCUGCAUUGUAAUAUAUUACAUACAUUGACUCAUAUAAUACAAAAUAUACCGCACUCCAAUAAAUGCAUAAAAAUGUAUUUAUAAAUAUUGAUACAAUAAGAUAUUCCUUACUAUAUUAGUAUAUAAGGGGAAGAAAAAAAAGGCUACAUGUGUGAAGCCCACAGAGCAACUAGUCCUAUGCCUGUAUAUCUAGGUAUAUCAUAACCUUGAUACAAAAAAUGAUUCUAUACAUAUAUAGCAUGUCAAUGAACACAUAAGUAAACCACAGUCGAUCCACCCCCUGGUUAAAGCAGCAAUGGCUGCAUUGAUGGUCACCCAGGACUUGACCCCUGGUGAAACAGCUUGUUGUGACACAAGCGGAGAUGUUUAAAGUAGCCCGCGAGGAGCAGCAAAAAGUCACCCAGGGACUACAACAGGAAAUCCAAGCUAUCUCUGAAAAACUGAAUGGAGACCCUGAUGGAAGAUAUCUGGGGCCAAAGGUGAUUCGGGCGAGCCACUAUCUUCAGAAAAUGACCGCAUCAGAUGAUGUUGAGGCAUACCUUCUGGCAUUUGAGCGCACUGCUGAGAGGGAGGGAUGGCCGAGUGGUGAGUGGGCAAGCAUACUGGCACCGUUCCUAAGUGGAGAGCCGCAGAAGGCGUAUUAUGACCUAGAACCAGCCGAUGCAAGUAACUACAGCAAAUUGAAAGCUGAAAUCUUGGCACGACUGGGUGUAACCUCUGCAGUACGUGCCCAAAGGUUCCACUCAUGGUCAUAUUCUUCAGACAAAGCCGCGCGUUCCCAAAUGUUUGACCUCAUACACCUUGCACGGAAAUGGCUACAACCUGAAAUCCAUUCAGCUAGCCACAUUGUGGAAACCUUAGUAAUGGACCGGUUUUUGCGUGGUUUACCAGCUGCCCUGCGUCGCUGGGUCAGCCAAAGUGACCCCCACACAGCUGACCAACUGAUUGCCUUGGUGGAAAGAUAUGUGGCUGCAGGAGAACUGCUACGUCCUACUUCACAGGAAAACCCCCGCAAUCCUAAGCCCCAAGAUUCUGCAAGACCUGGUAAGACUGUUCAAGGUUUAAGGGGAGCUGAAGAGCUGCAGCUCUAUACACAAAACACCAGGGGGGCAUCCAGGUCUAAUAGGCCUGGGAAAGGAACUAAUUGGUGGUCAGAUUUUACUGUCAAAUGUUUCAAGUGCAAAGAGGAUGGUCAUAUGGCCAAAGACUGUCCAUUGAAGGAUGAACCUAUGGAAUGCAAUAUGGGCAAAGAUGAGGGAGCACGUUCAUUUUUGCUCAACUGUUAUGGUACUGUUAACAAUGACUAUGAUAAUAACCCUCAUAAAUGCUGUGUAACUGUGAAUGGUAAAAUGUCUAAAGCAUUACUUGAUUCGGGUAGUAUGGUUACGUUGGUAGCAGAGUCUGUAAUACCUUGUGUAAAACCUGAUCAUGUACAGAAAAUAGGCAUUAUCUGUGUUCAUGGUGAUAAAAAGGAAUACCCCACUGCGGAAGUAAAUAUUGGAACCCAGUAUGGGAUUUAAAGUACCGAGUGGGUGUAGUACCUAGAUUAGCCCAUGAGGUAGUGAUCGGUAGAGACUUUCCUCACUUUCUAGAAUUAUGGGCAGCUGUACAAAAGAGGGACCAAACUUUAUCAGAAAUUAGUCAAUCGGCCGAGGAUAAUGUGUUUCCUUUUUCCGAUAUUGACUUGGGUUUUGACCACUGUGACAGAGAAAUAAGAAAAAGGAGAAAAUACUGCCCUAAACCAGUAUUAAUAGGAGAUAACCCAGCUCAAACUAGUGAAGAGCCUACUAAUACUGCAGACAAGGAUAAGGACUUAAUUGAUAUUGGAAUCAGUCCAGGUAAUUUUAAAAGUGCUCAGUGGGAAGAUCCCACUUUAGUGACAGCUAGAAAUGAUAUUAAAGUUGUAAAUGGGGUUGCUAAUCAACCAGGAGAAGCCCUACCGUUCCCCUAUUUUGAAGUACAAAAUGACCUAAUUUACCGUGUAGAAAAAAGGGAUUCAGAUAUCAUUAAGCAGCUGUUGGUUCCUCAGACUUACCAAAAUAUAGUACUAAAGUUGGCUCACAGCCACAUAUUAGGGGGACACUUGGGAGUCGAAAAACUAGAGAGAGUGUCCUUAGAAGGUUUGUUACAUAUGGUGGAGAAUAAGUUCCUUGCGACUUGGCAUGGACCCUAUGAAAUAAUAGAGAAAGUGAGUGAUGUCAAUUAUAAAGUCAGACAACCAGGAAGAAGAAAGCCUGAACAGUUGUAUCAUAUAAAUCUGUUAAAGCCAUGGAAGGACAGGGAGGUCCUGGUUGCUUUAAAAACUUCAGAACCUCCUAUAGUAGAGCCAGAGGUGAACGUAUCUGAGACUCUGUCUGUACAUCAAAAGCAAGAGGUCAGAGACUUCAUCAGAAGAAAUAGGGAUGUUUUCUCGGUAGUUCCAGGAAAGACUAAGGUGAUUAAACAUGACAUAAUAACCGAACCAGGGAAAAGUUAAUCUCAAACCCUAUAGAAUUCCUGAGGCCCGGAGGGAGGUUAUAAACUUAGAGGUUGAGAGCAUGUUAAAACUUGGAGUCAUUGAAGAAUCCCAGAGUAACUGGAGUAGUCCUAUUGUAUUGGUGCCAAAACCUGAUGGCACAUGGAGGUUCUGUAAUGACUACCGCAAGUUAAAUGCUAUCUCAAAAUUUGAUGCUUACCCAAUGCCCAGAGUUGAUGAGUUAAUGGAAAGACUGGGUAAAGCUCGUUAUCUAACAACCUUGGAUUUAACAAAGGGUUACUGGCAGGUACCUCUCACUGAAAGAGCCAAAGAAAAGACAGCCUUUUCAACACCCAGUGGCCUGUUUCAGUACACUGUAUUGCCAUUUGGGUUACAUGGGGCACCUGCCACAUUCCAACGAAUGAUGGACAGAAUUCUUAAACCUCAUGUUCGUUAUGCUGCAGCAUACUUGGAUUAUGUCGUCAUCCACAGUGCAGACUGGGAAUCCCACCUCCCCAAAGUUCAAGCGGUGCUUGAUGCUAUCCGCUCAGCGGGCUUAACUGCCAAUCCUUCCAAGUGUACGAUUGGUUUAGAGGAAGCAAAGUACUUAGGUUAUUCUAUUGGGAGGGGUUUGGUUAAACCACAGGAAGCCAAAGUAGAAGCCAUACAAAAAUGGCCACAGCCCCUUACAAAGAAACAAGUAAAGGCAUUUUUGGGUUUAAUUGGAUAUUAUAGACGGUUCAUCCCAGAUUUUGCUACCAUUGCUGCACCUCUAACAGACCUUAUUAAAGCAAAAUCCCCAGUUGUAGUUAAAUGGUGCCCUGAGGCAGAAAAGGCUUUUAAGAGUCUGAAGGAAGCUAUCUGUAGCCAUCCUGUCUUGGUGACCCCAGAUUUUUCCAGGGAUUUUAUAGUUCAGACAGCCCUUCUGAUGUAGGCUUGGGGGCUGUUCUUUCACAGGAAUACCAGGGUGAAGAACACCCUGUUUUCUUUUUGAGCAGAAAGUUAAACCCACAUGAGAAGAACUACUCUAUUGUUGAAAAAGACUGUCUUGCUAUUAAGUGGGCAUUAGACUCUUUUAAAUACUACCUACUAGGCAGAAAGUUCCGAUUGAUAACGAACCAUGCACCUCUGACAUGGAUGUAUCAGAACAGGGAAAGUAACUCCAGAGUAACCAGAUGGUUUUUGAGUUUGCAAUCUUAUAAUUUCACUGUGGAACACAGGGCUGGUCUGCAACAAGGUAAUGCUGAUAGCCUUUCCAGGGUACACUCUCUGAUAUCCACGGUCGCUCAAACCCAUGGGUAUGAGCUGGGGGGGAGGAUAUGUGAGCGUAAAGGUGGAAUAGUGGUUGAUGGGAGAUACAUCAGGCCUGAUUUGCUAAACAGCAACCAGAGGAUUUUUCAGUUAAAUGCCCCAGGGAGAGAUGUUAGAGUUUGCAAUCUACAUUGCUAAGGUUCUGCAAAACAUGGUAUGGGUCCCUGGGGCGGAGUAUUUGGAGAGCAGGGUGGGCCAAUGCUCCAACAGCAUUAGUUGCUGUGUAACAGACCACUAUUUGGAUCUGACUUACGAGUUAAUUAAUUGGCACUCACCUGUAGCCAGUCAAUUAGUAGACAGGCCUUUAAAAGAAGAGGGCAGCCUGCUGCAGAGUGAGGGAGGAAAAGACAGCUAGGAGAGUGAAAGACAAGUGUGUUUAUUGCAAAGCCAUUUCUUUUGUUUGGAAAAUUGGUAAGUGGGAAAGCCACCCAAUUGCAGAUAGUAAUUCAUGUCUAGUAAGAGCAAGGGAUUUUGUUUGUUUUUGUUAUUAUUUAAAGUACCUGUUUUCUUAUUGAAUAAAAAGGAAAACUGAGCUGAAGGUGUCCUGGACUUUGUAUACCCUAGAAGGCUGUGGUUACUGCAAGAUCGGUGACAAUCCUACCUGAAAAAGAGGUGGUUUGUUACAAUAUAAAAAAAAAAAAAAAAGAAAUCCAAUAAAUCUUGCACUCCACCAAUUCCAAAUUAAGUGCCCGGUGCUUGUCAGCCAAAAAUACAAAAUAGUUGUCAGUGAUAGCACUCCAAGGACUAUAAGUAAAAUAUAACUUAUUACCUCCACUAAAACAAUACAGUCAACGUUUUAGCUUGAUCCCCUCAAGCUUUCGUCAGGACAUACUGAAAAUACAAACAAACCCCACAUAUAUAGCAUAAGUAAUGACAUCCACUCACCCCACCUGAGGUGCAUCUGACUUCAUGGACGCUCGGACCGGGACUGCUGCGGGCUGCCCGAUGAACCUCUGCAGCCACGUGGCGUCGCGCUCAAUGACGCGGCCAAGGGUCAUCACCAUGGAUACCAAUAUACAAUUACACAUCGUGCAUAUCAUACAGCGUGUGAAAUAAAAACAGUGUUGCCAAAUCAUCUAGCAACAGGUGAAUGUUACAAAGCACCUUAAUUGUAUAUAAAUACUUGAACAGAAAUGGCAGACUGGUAUUUUAAAGUUGGGAAACCACAAACUUUGAAAAUAAACUGAUGAAUGAAAAAGAAAUGAAAUGAAAUAAAAAACAAGAAAAAUAAAACAAUAAAUAAAAAUAAAUAUAACUAAAUAGUACACUAUUGAAAAUGAUAAAAAAUAAUACAUAGAAAAUAAUAAAAAUUAAAUAAAAAAUAAUAAAUAAGGAAAAAAUUAAUAAAAAUAAAUAUAAAGAAAUAAAAAAAGAACAAGAAUAAUAAAAAUUACAAAAAUAAAAGUAGAAAAAAAGUAUAUAAACACUCAAAAAUAAACACAAAACUAAUGACCUCCAUAAAGGUACUCAGCCUAAAAAGGCUAACCUAAUAUAACCAAACCUCAAGAUUGUUAAGGCACCCUUAUAAUGUUUACUGAAAAACCAAAACAUUAACGGGCCAGUCUAAUAUUAGAACAAUAACUUGUUCUGAACCAUAGAACCGAAUAAUAGGGGACUAAUGUAUAUCGGGCAAUAAUCAUGAUAUUAUACAUCCUAGAUAUUAAUUAGUUUUAUAUAUCCUGUUAAAGCCAAAUGUAUAGCUGGAAAAAAAAUCAUACAUAAGCCUCAUUAAUACUAUUCUAACAUAAUAAAAAGCUGGCAAAAAAUAACCCAUAAUCUUGCAAAGAGAUCUAUAGGUAGCUGAACCUCUAAAAGGCUACAUGGGUACCCCCGUCAAAAAAGUAUUUAUCAUCAAAAUCAAAAAAUAACACAGAGGCUUAAAGUCCACGUCUCUAUAGUCUACAAUUCCUGGAGUCUCUUUAACUUUAUAAGGAACAUAGCUUAAGAGACGUUUAUCACCAACCAAGGACAACAUCUAUCAAUACUACCUAACCAAGUUUGAGUAUAUUCAAAAUAGGAGGACAAAUAUAUCUGUUCCAUAAAUACACACCCAAACAACAGGGACAACCCAUAACACCCAUGUUGUGUUAACCCUGGAUGAGUACUGGUCACAGUGGGUAUAUAAGCGGGUUGCCUAUUCCCCAGGGUGGGCACCCAAUUGCAACCCCACAUACGUGACCGUAUCAAAUGCAUGAAAGAGAAUAAAACUGUUACACAGCAGUAUAAAUAGUGUGAGAUAAAUGUAGGGCUGCAUGCCUAUCCCCCAGGGUGGGCAUCGCAUUACCACUGCUUCUACACACUAAUAAAUGAAUAAUUAUAAAAAUGUGUGUGUGUGUGUAUAUAUAUAUAUAUAUAUAUAUAUAUAUAUAUAUACACACACACACACAUACAUACAUACAUACACGCAGUGGACUGAACUUUUAGAUGUAUUAGACAAGAAAAAUAAAUGACUAUAGCAGCGUAAUUACACUGUAAUAGACAAAAAAAAGACAAAAUAAAAACAAUACAAAAACCAUCAGAUACAGAACACAACACACCAUAAAACGAUUCGCUGUCACAACUGCUAAGGAUAUGCACACAUUCACAAUUAAAAUCCCUAUGGAGUUCCAAUACACAGAAUCCAGAAACAAUAGUCUAAAAUUCCCAAAGCCAAAGGAAAUAUCCAGAGGAUGACAGUACAAAAAUAAAGGGAUAGUGACAAUUACGAUCAGCACCACAUUGGACAGACUCUCCGGUCACCUCAAUAGGGAAAGUGAUAUGUCUUCUCCAAGUGGAAGAAAUAACAGCUAUAAGGACUUCAAUAAUGAUACAACAGUAGUAGCAUGGUUGUGCAAUAAUUUCCAAAAUUGAGGUCUCCGGAUGUACAUUGAGCGGAUAUCCUGCACCUUGCAUCUUCCUGAAAUAUUUUUCAUGGUUUGAUUACUGUAAUAUGAUUGUGUUUAAUAUCCAAAAAAGGUUACAACAUUUUGCAGCUAGAAUAUUAAUAGAGUCUAAUAGAUGCUCUAACAAGAAACUUGUUUUCAGUAACCUGUACUGACCCCCAAUUAUGUAGUAAAUAUCAUUGGCUAUAAAGCCAUUUAUUGGACUGGCUCAGAACACAUAAAUACAAUAAUGCCUGUUGGAACAUCUGUCCUGUCCUUGGUAAUCACCUGAAUUGCCUGCCAUGGUCUUACUGUUCUAUCCAGAGCCAUGCCCUUCAAGUAUUUGGAGAGACUCAAGAGAUAUUGUCCGCUCUUUAUUAAAGAGAACAAAAGUUUAUUAUAACGCAAUAAAGGGGAGUGUAGGGGGAGUAUCAUUAAUCACCAAUCAAAUAUAGACAACUAUUAAUUAGGGAUCGACUGAUUUUCGGUCUGGCCGAUAUUAUCGGCCGAUAUUCUAGGGGGCAUUACUAGGUAGGGUUUUCUUAGAAAAGGUGUAUGUAGGGAUAGUGUCUUCUUAGAAGAAGGGGAAAAAGACAGAAUCCUGCCCGCACACCUCUACUUUUAACAAAAUUUGUUCCUUACUGCCAAUUAAUGUCCUUUUAUUAUCACUAUAGUAUUUUAAAGCCUCAAAAGCAUGGGUCGUCAACCUAGUCCCUACCGCCACUAGUGGGCGUUUCAGGAUUCCAGGUGGACGGUAGGGAUUUUUUAAUUUUGAGAAAUUUGGGCGGGUGCGAGCUGGCUGUACCCCUGCGACCGGGUACUGCCAUCACCACUUGCAGCCCCGGCCCGCGGGGCAAACCGAUGUGGAUUGUAAGGGGGCCCGGUCAGCGCUGGGCGCUUUAACAGCGCGACCGGGCCCCCUGUGAUUACAUCACAGAGCUGGGAGGAAGUGACUGCACGUCACUCCUCCCAGCUAACACACAGACCGCGCGGGAGGAAGGAGGAGAGAGUCAGAAUGGGAACUCUGACUCCCAUCCACCUGAGCCACCACUGGACCCUAGGGAAAGUCACCCUCCUGCACCUAAAAUGUAGGAAACAGGAGGGUGACUAAAAUAUUUUGUGUGUGUUUGUUUGUGUAUGUGUCUUUGUAUGUAUGUCUUGUGUGUUUCUGUCUGUAUGUAUGUGUGUCUGUCUGUAUUUAUGUGUGUAUGUAUGUGUGUCUUGUCUUUGUAUGUAUGUUGUGUGUGUAUGUGUAUUUGUAUGUCUUGUGUGUGUGUGUGUGUGUGUGUAUGUAUGUGUGUCUUGUCUUUGUAUGCAUGCGUCUUUGUAUGUAUGUUUUAUGUGUGUGUCUGUAUGUGUGCCUGUCUGUGUGUCUGUAUGUAUGUGUGUAUGUAUGUUUGUCUUGUGUGUGUGUCUGUAUGUAUGUGUGCCUGUCUGUUAUAGUGGGCUAUAGUAAGUAAUAGUAAGUGGGAUACCUAGCUCAGCCUUCCUACUGGGCAUUGCUAUAAGGAAGGUUAAAAAAAAAAAUUUAAAGGGGAAAAAAAGGUGGGGAGGGGAGCUGAUGCACAGAUGAGAAAUCAUAUUAUGCACAAACAGAGAAGUCGUCUGAAUAUCACCGAAAGAGGAGACCUUAGUUUGUUCCUUACGAAAAUCGAACCAGAUAUCAAAUAUUUAGUCUCGCAGCAUCAACCUCAAGGAUCUCAUUAAUCACUAGUAAAGGUAAUUUCAAUUUACUUUAUUGUUUUCUCAUUAAACUUUAUAAAAUUAAAAACAUUAUAAACAUGCAUUAAGUAGAAAUAAAAAGAUAAAUGUACGUACAUUUAUUUUUUUUUUUAAACACCCUCCUUUCGAAAAAAUAUUCUGCAUUGCGUGAAAACUGGUGGGCAGUAAGGAAAUUUUUUCAACCAAAAAGAUGCAUUAGUGGGCGGUAGGUAGAAAAAGGUUGACUACCACUGCUCUAAAGAAAUACUCACAAAACAAAAUAAGCACAAAGCACAAUAAUAAAAUCUGCUCUCCUCUCAAAACAGUUUCAUAUCAAUGAAGUUGUAUUGAGGGUUCCUAGAUGGCGUCUUACUGUUUUUAGCCUAUCGCUGGCUGCCCAUUGUGACAGGCUGAGAGUGUCUGCUGUAGAUCAAAGCCUAUUAGUGGCAUCCAAGGCAAUAAUUCCUUCUCAGUACAGUGGCCGAGUAGUGUACAGGAGAGGUGUGGCAGUGCAGACACCCAAAAGCAAUUUAACACCUUAAGGUAAGAUGACACCCACGGACUUCAGACCCCAAAACAAACUGCAUUGAGUUAAAGUUGUAUUCAGGGUGAAAAGACCCUUUAAGUCGUGUUGGUGCCCGUAGUGUGUCUAGAUUGUCCCUUUUAAAGCUCAUCUUCAUGGAUACUAUAGGUUAUGCCAAUAGUGGGUUAUUGUUUGAUCCCUAGAUACAACUCCCAUCAUCCUUGAAGGAUCUUCCUUUUUUUCAAACUCUCGACUUGGCUUUUAUUAAAGCAAAAGUGGAGUCUUUUGACUGUUCAUCACAUAUUCCGUUGUUAAUUCAUUAAUUCAGCUAAUUUAAAGUGAUAUAAAGAAGAUACCAUAACCAGCCAUUAUGUAGAUUUGGGUGGAAUAAUGUAAAUUUACAUCAUUUUGAUUACUGUAUUCUUAGAAGUCCUCUUUCUGAAAGUGUACUCCUGCCUUUUUUUUUGCCUCUGGAACACACAGAGUUAAUCAGUAUUGCUCUGGAAUGCAAGAAAACCAUUAGCAUUGUUUCUUGUUUCAAAUACAUUCAGGCAUCUGAGUCUUUGUUUAGCGUAACGUACAAACUAAACUACUGUUCAGCAGUAACACUACACAAUAUAGUUCUUGCUCUCUCCAGAUGGAAAUUGUUCCAGCAGAAUGAUUUAACUAAAACUCAUGUGCUUAAAUUAUGUUCAUGCCUUUUUAAAUACUUUUUCAUUAUGGUCUUUUGGCCAAGAGACAUACCCGAGACAGACUGUAUGACAGCGUUACUCAGUGUGUGGGAUUAGCCCUCCAACAAGAUGAAAACAUUGUUGACUCUUCUGCAUCAUCUGGGAAAAAGAAAUGAAUGUCCUUAACUCCCCCUGUUUAGAUUAUGAGAUCAGAUGACACAAGCUUUAUUUGUAUAAUGUAUUAUAUUUACUGGUGUUAUUUGAUAAGUCUCCGCAAGAUACAUUAAUAACAGUGGCAGCACAAAUGUUACUGUCAGUUAUUGUCGAAUCUAAAAACAAGUUUUUCAUUUAUCCUUUGUGUAGUCUUAUAUAUAACCUUUUUCAAUACAUUAACAGCAUAAUAUUGCUCCUACUCUUAAAUGGUUAAACGCUGCCAUGUUUUGAACUGUGUGGCCUGGGCUGAAUUCAAAUCUGACACUAACCCAGUGUCUACAGUAAGUAACAUAAUAUGGCAAUACCAUGACAUUGCUCUUAUAUUAAGACAUAGCUCCUUAUUAAUACUUUCUAGAAAUGACACUGAGAAUAUUCUGGCACCAAAUCAAAUAUGUGUUAGGGCCAGUGGUAUUGCUAGGGAAACUGACAAGGACUGGAGACCCAAGUGGGGCCCUGAGAAUCCUCAGGUCCAAUUUUGGCCCCGUUGCAUUGUUAGUCCUGAGUCCCAAGUAAUACUGAGAGAAAACUGGCAUCUCCAAUUACCUAAUGAAUGCACCAUGUUUUGAGUUAAUUAUAUAGCACAGCGCAGUAUUGCUGUAAGUGCAGGGUUUAAAUACAUUGGGUUCAGAGUUAGUUACAGUAAGCCUCGGGGCUUAGAACAACAGGUGUAGAAUUAUAAAUAUAGGUUUAGAUAAUAAUCUAGUUAAUCAUUCAAAGAUUUGGUUUCAUAAUGGCCUAACAUGAUAGAUAGGCAGCCAGACAUGUAUUCACAUCAGGGUGACCUGACUAAAAAGGUGCAGACCCACCUUCUUUCGUGGCGGGUUCAUAUAUUUUGGGGCAGAGUCAGUGAUGCAGUCGCAUCACUGUCUCCUCUUCUACCUCCUCCAACCAGUGGACAUCAAUGUUGGGAGCUUUGAAGAUGAACCUGGGAAAAGAGAGAGAAAGAGCUGAAAAAAGAUAGGCAGAGGUUAUGCUGUAUGUUUACUUAUGUGAGUUGUGUAUGAGUACGGAGCAAAUCUUCAUAGAAGUAAAACAUACAGUAAUGUGCAAAGUGUGUAUCACAGAGCUCCCCAGAAAUAAAAAUCUCAGUCUAUCGUGCAAUGUGGGUGUAUCACAGAGCUCUACAGCAAUAAAGGGUACCACCUAUGGGAGGAGAGGAUGAAAAUGGGGUACUAUCUAUUGGAGGAGAGGAGGAGAAUGGAAUACUUCCUGUGAUGAGAGGAGGGGAAUAGGGUACCAUCUAUGAGAGGAGAGGAUGAGAACUGGUUACUUUCUAUGGGAGGAGAGGAGGAAAAUGGGGUAUUAUAUAAGGGGGAGAGGAGGAGAAUGAUAUACUACAGGUGGAGCAGGGGGUACUAUCUCUAGCAGAAGAGUGGGGUAUUAUCUAUUUGAGCAGAGGACGAAUACGGGGUACUAGAUAUAGAACAAGAGGCGGAAAAUGGGGUACAAUCUAUGGUAAAAGCAGAAGAGAAUGAGGUGCUAUCUAUGGGAGGAGAGGAUGCGAAUAGGGUACUAUCUAUGGAAGGAGAUGAAGACAAUUGGGUACUAUGUAUGAGAGGAGAAUGUGGUGCUAUCUAUUGGAGGAGAGGAGGAGAACAGGGUACUAUCUUUUAAAGGAGAGGAGGAGAAUGGUGUGCUAUCUAUAGGAGGAGAAUGGGAUACUAUCUAUGAGGAGAGAAGGAGAAUGGGGUACUAUCUCUGGCAGGAGAGUGGGCUACUAACUAUAACGGGAGAGUAGUAGAAUGAAGUACUAUCUAUGGGAGGAGAGUGGGGUACUAUCUAUGGGAGGAUGGACAAGAACGGGGUACUAUCUAGGGGAGAAAAGAAGGACAAUGAGACACUAUCUAUUGGAAGAGAGGAGGAGAAUAGUGUACUAUUGUACAGCACUACAGAAUUUGUUGGUGCUUCAUAAAUAAUUAUAAUUUAUGGGAGGAGAGGAAGAGAAUGGCGUACUAGCUAUAGGAGGAGAAUGAGAUACUAUCUAUGAUCAGAGGAGGAGAACAGGGUACUAUCUAUUGAAGAAGAGGAGGAGUCUAACUGUUGACUGUAAGUCAACUGGGGUCAUUUUUAGUGGUCCCAGUCUGACCAAUGAGCUCUGUGAAGCGCUGUCAACAUUCCACCAACUACUGUGUUAAAUAGUAAAACCCAUUUCUAAUAUGAGAAUUGAUAUUAGCAGUGGGUUACCUUAGAGUUAUUGUUUGAGUUUGUGGUGGGGUUAGAGUUAGAUUUAGGGGUAAUAGUAGGUAGGGCUUCACUUAGUGUUGGGGUUGUGUUAGUCUAGGGUUUGGGUAGACUAAGGGAUAAUGUUGGGUAUGGGUUAAUGCUGUUUUAGAGUUAAAAAUAGUGUAGAGUUGAGACUAAGGGUAAGUUUAGGGUAGAGUUAGUGUAAGUAUUGGAUAAGUGUAUGGUUGGUAUAGCAUUAGUGUGUGGAUAGGUAUACGGUUAGUUAAAUAUAAAAAAAAUGAAUUUCGAUCCAAAACAUAGUAAGCAUUUAACAAUCAGGACUGAUAUAUGGAUCUAUUUUGAGUUAUUUUUAAUUAGUUGCACUGGAUGUGUACAAAUUAAAAUAAGCAAAAAUGUGAAAUUACUUUUUUCCCAUUAUUAACAUUUUAUUCACACAUAAUGUUGUGUUAGGUAUACAUAUAGGAUGUUAAAUGAAAGCCCUUUCUGUCCUUGAUAAAAUGAUAUACACUGUAUACUAUGUAUGUAUGACUGGAACAGAAACCGUAAAUUAAGGUAGAACAACUCUAUAGCUUAAAUUUAAGGUUUGUAACGUGUGCAAUUACUUCUGUCCUUAAGGUUUUACAGAGAUUCCAUAGGCACCCAGACCACUUCAUCUCAAUGAAGUGGUGGGGGUGCCAUGUCCCUCUUUUUAACAUUGCAGGUGAAAACAUUGCAUGAUUUAAAUGCCUCUAGUGGCNNNNNNNNNNNNNNNNNNNNNNNNNNNNNNNNNNNNNNNNNNNNNNNNNNNNNNNNNNNNNNNNNNNNNNNNNNNNNNNNNNNNNNNNNNNNNNNNNNNNUCUCACUCUGACAGCUACUAGAGGCGCUUCUGCAGCCAAAUUUACUACGGCUAUUUCAAUCAGAUGAUGGUUUCAUUGUGGCAGUUUGCUGAGCAUGUGCACUACCCUGCCAAUGCUUUCCUAUGGGAAAUUGAUCUUGAUGAUCUCAGCCANNNNNNNNNNNNNNNNNNNNNNNNNNNNNNNNNNNNNNNNNNNNNNNNNNNNNNNNNNNNNNNNNNNNNNNNNNNNNNNNNNNNNNNNNNNNNNNNNNNNGAUCCUGUCACUUAAUGACAUUCCAUAGAAAUAUGCACAGAAUUAACAUUAGCCACACUUGUUCUCAUGCUUGUAGAAGCUGAGGCAUUAAGCUCUGUGUGUGCAGUGUUUUGUAGCCGAACACUGUACAUACAAGCUCCAGACACCAUGACCACUUCAAAUUACUGAAUCCCUUUAAAGCGGCACUGUCAUGCCGAACUUACCUUUCCUCAAUCUCUUCCUCUUCUCCCCCUCUCUCGGGAUCUGUUAUUCUUUUCUUCCUGUAUUCUUUAGUUUUCUUUAAAAUCAUAAGACAAAGUAGGGACUCUUUGCCUUAUGGAGGAUUCCUCCGCUUGACCAGCUCUGACCAGCGGAGGAGCAAAGUGUGCUUCAUUUCCGCUGGUCAGAGCAAUUUUCCCAUGAUCCCUAGCUUUCCUCUGUGUUCCCACAAUGCUUCCUGUCACUUUACACAAAACUGCCGAAUUGCGUUCUAACUGAAUGAGAACAGUAUGUUCGUUUCUUUUAGAACGCAAUUCGGCACUUUUAUUCGGAUCGGAAUUUCAUUCGAAUGAAUGAAACUCUGAUCCUAUUCAUUGCCGCGGCUGCAUCUUGCAGCCGCUUAGUAGAUAACUCCCUAAUUCCCACGGUAUCAGGGAGUUAUCUACUAAAAGGCUGAAAGACCUAAAUUGGUCUUUCAGCCAACUUUACUAAUACUAAGUAAAGAUUACUUAGUAUUAGUAAAUAAUAUGCCCCUACUCGCUAUACCGCGAGUAGGGGCAUGUGUAGUAAGCAGUGAGCAGCUUAUAGCUGCUCACUGUAAAAAAAAAACCAAAAAACUAAUAACCCCCCCCCCUGCCCGUGGGGGCCCUAAAUAAAGAUGGGGGGGACCUACUGUCCUCCCCCCCUGGCCCCCACCCCUGCGCGGUGGGUGGGGGCCCUAAUAAAACAAUAAGGGGGUGACCUACUGUCCUCCCCCUGGCCCCCACCCCUGAGUGGUGGGUGGGGGCCCUAAUAAAACAAUAAGGGGGGGGACCUACUGUCCUCCCCCCAUGGCCCCCACCCCUGCGCGGUGGAUGGGGGCCCUAAUAAAACAAUAAGGGGUGGGGACCUACUGUCCUCCCCCCCUGGCCCCCACCCCUGAGCAGUGGGUGGGGGCCCUAAUAAAACAAUAAGAGGGGGGACCUACUGUCCUCCCCCCCAGGCCCCCACCCCUGAGCGGUGGGUGGGGGCCCUAAUAAAACAAUAAGGGGGGGGACCUACUGACCUCCCCCCCUGGCCCCCACCCCUGCGCGGUUGGUGGGGGCCCUUAUAAAACAAUAAGGGGGGGGACCUACUGUCCUCCCCCCCUGGCCCCCACCCCUGAGCGGUGGGUGGGGGCCCUAAUAAAACAAUAAGUGGGGGGGACCUACUGUCCUCCCCCCCGGCCCCCACCCCUGAGCGGUGGGUGGGGGCCCUAAAUGAAACACCCCCCUCCCCAAUCAAGGUGACUAGGGGUCCCAAGCCCCUAGUCACCCCCCCACCCAAAAAAAAACUAUCCCCUACCUACCCCCCUCACCCUAAAAAUAGUGAGGGGGGAAUAAAAUAACUAACCUGUAAAAAAAAAUUUAACUUACCAUUUGACGUCUUCUUUUUUUUUAAAUCUUCUUUCUUCAGCCCCCAAAAAGGCCAAAUAAAAAUCCAUCCUUACUUGCGUCGCGCCCAAAAAAAUUGAUUAAUCCAUGUUAAGCCCUUCGAGAGGCAUGGCGUGCACUGAGCUCAUGGUAGUCAAGGCUUAUAAAAAGCCUUUGCCCAUACCUACAAUUAAACUUAGAACACUCUGAUUGGUGGGUUUAGUAAUCAGAGUGCUCUGUGUCAUUUUGGCGUGGGAAAAUUCAAAGAAAUUUAUUCCAUUUGUAAAAAUGACACAGAGCACUCUGAUUAGGUGGCUUUCAAUUUUACACAGAGUGGGAAAGUUCUUUGGAAUUUUCCCACGCUGUGUAAAAUGACACAGAGCACUGUGAUUGGAUGGAUUUCAAGCCAUCCAAACACAGUGCUCUGUGUCAUUUUACAUAGCGUGGGAAAGUUCUUUGGAAUUUUCCCACGCUGUAUAAAAUGACACAGAGCACUGUGAUUGGAUGGAUUUCAAGCCAUCCAAUCACAGUGCUCUGUGUCAUUUUACACAGCGUGGGAAAGUUCUUUUGAAUUUUCCCACGCUGUGUAAAAUGACAAAGAGCACUCUGAUUGGCUUAAACCACCAAUCAGAGUGUUCUUAGCCUAAUUGCAGGGCGUGGCAAGGCUUUAUAAGCCUUCCCCCGCCCUGCAGAGCUCAGUCUGCGCGGAGCCCUCCAUGGGUGAAGAUGGAUUAUUUUUUGCGCUCAGGUUUUUUCUUUUUGUCGGGUUUUUUUUUUUGCGCUCGGGAUUUUUAUUUUAUUUUCAAUUCGACGGUUAUGAUGGUUUUUUUAUUUGGCCUUUUUUGGGGCUGAAAAAAGAAGAUUUGAGAAAAAAGAAGACGUCGAAUGGUAAGUUUAAUUUUAUUUUACAGGUUGGUUAUUUUAUCCCCCCCUCACUAUUUUUUAGGGUGAGGGGGGUAGGUAGGGACUUGUUUUUUUUUGGGUGGGGGGUGGGUGACUAGGGGCUUGGGGACCCCUAGUCACCUUGGUGGGGGGGGGGGUAAUUGACUUAGGGCCCCCACCCAGGGGUGGGGGCCGGGGGGGCAGUAGGUCCCCCCCCAUUCUCAAUAUGGCCCCCACCCGCCGCCCAGGGGUGGGGGCCGGGGGGGGCAGUAGGUCCCCCCCCAUUCUCAUUAUGGCCCCCACCCGCCGCCCAGGGGUGGGGGCCGGGGGGGAGGGCAGUAGGUCCCUCCCCCCCAUUCUCCUUAUGGCCCCCACCCACCGCCCAGGGGUGGGGGACGGGGGCAGUAGGUCCCCCCCCCAUUCUCAUUAUGGCCCCACCCGCCGCCCAGGGGUGGGGGCCGGGGGGGGAGGACAGUAGGUCCCCCCCCUCAUUAUCUUCAUGGCCCCCACCCGCCGCCCAGGGGUGGGGGCCGGGGGGGGCAGUAGGUCCCCCCCCUCAUUCUCCUUAUGGCCCCCACCCGCCGCCCAGGGGUGGGGGCCGGUGGGGGGCAGUAGGUCCCCCCCAUUCUCAUUAUGGCCCCCACCCGCCGCCCAGGGGUGGGGGCCGGGGGGGGAGGACAGUAGGUCCCCCCCCUCCUUAUCUUCAUGGCCCCCACCUGCCGUCCAGGGGUGGGGGCCGGGGGGGCAGUAGGUCCCCCCCCCUCAUUAUUGCCCCCACCUGCCGCCCAGGGGUGGGGGCGGGGGGGGCAGUAGGUCCCCCCCCCCUCAUUUUCAUUAUGGCCCCCACCCGCCGCCCAGGGGUGGGGGCCGGGGGGGGGCAGUAGGUCAUUUGGUCUCCCCCCUUAUUUUACUUUAGGGCCCCCACCCGUCGUUUAGGGGUGGGGGCCAAUAGUUUUUUUUUUUUUUUACUGUUUACCAGACAUGCCCCUACUCGCGGUAUAGCGAGUAGGGGCAUAUUACUUACUAAUACUAAGUAAUUUUUACUUAGUAUUAGUAAAGUUGGCUGAAAGACCAAUUUAGGUCUUUCAGCCUUUUAGUAGAUAACUCCCUGAUACCGUGGGAAUUAGGGAGUUAUCUACUAAGCGGCUGCAAGAUGCAGCCACAGCAAUCAAUAGGAUCGGAGUUUCAUUCAUUCGAAUGAAAUUGCGAUCCGAAUAAAGUGCCGAAUUGCGUUCUAAAAGAAACGAACAUACCGUUCUCAUUCAGUUAGAACGCAAUUCGGCAGUUUAGUGUAAAGUGACAGGAAGCAUUGUGGGAACACUGAGGAAAGCUAGGGAUCAUGGGAAAAUUGCUCUGACCAGCGGAAAUGAAGCACACUUUGCUCCUCUGCUGGUCAGAGCUGGUCAAGCGGAGGAAUCCUCCAUAAGGCAAAGAGUCCCUACUUUGUCUUAUGAUUUUAAAGAAAACUAAAGAAGACAGGAAGAAAAUAAUAACAGAUCCUGAGAGAGGGGGAGAAGAGGAAGAGAUUGAGGAAAGGUAAGUUCGGCAUGACAGUGCCGCUUUAAAUUGUGUUAAAUGUGAUAAACCUUUAAAAAAGAGAAGGGACAGAUGUCCUUAAAGGGACAUUAUAGCAUUAGAAAUAGAAAACCUGUAUUCCUAACGUUAGAGUGAUCCUGUCCCUAGUUCUUUACAGAUCCCCACCCCUAGUGUGAUAUAAAAAUGAACUAACUUAAGGAUUUACUUACCUUUUUCAAGCAUUGAGUCUUCCUCUGAGCUGCUCACCUCUCUACCCCCCAUGACAUCAUGAAGGUGGCAUGGCAAUGGCUCAGUCCAAUGCUCAUCAUAAAGUCACUUCCAGCCUUAGGAGAGCAAUGUUUUUCUAUAGGCUUCCACGUCAUGUGACCAAGUGUAAUUUGGUCAGUGCCACAGACACGUAUCUAGUGGUUGUCUGCGUGACAGUCACUAGACGUGGAUUUAACACUGCAAUGUAAACAUUGCCAUGUUUUUAUUUUAAACUGCAAUGUUUUACAUUUAUUUGCAUAGCUAUAGUGUUUCUUUAACCCUGCAAACACAAUCCUAAUUCUAUAGUUUUAAUCUAUGCUAGGUUCCCCCCACUGUGUGAGGGCACGAAGUGCGAGCUUUACUUACCUUUCAGUCCUUGCCACGCUGGUCUCCAAAGGAAAUCUCUGCCUCCUUGGCUGAGAUAAUCAAGACAAUGAUCUCAGCCAAUUCAAUGCUUUCAUACAGUACAUUAGGAGGCGAGUGUGCAUACACUGCGCCAAUCAGAUGGUCUCUAUUAUUAUUAUUGCCAUUUAUAUAGCACCAACAGAUUCCGUAGCGCUUUACAAUAUUAUGAGAAGCAGGAUUUAACUAUAAGUAGGACAAUUACAAGAAAACCUACAGGAAUGAUAGGUUGAAAAGGACCCUUCUCAAACAAGCUUACAGUCUAUAGGAGGUGGGGUAUAAAACACAUUAGGACAGGAAAUCAGACUCUCUGAUUGAAAUAACUGAGUCUAUUUUUUCGAAUGUGUCUGUCGGAGUUACAGGCACUAGAGGACUUUAAAAUAAAUUUUGAUUUGCAUUAAGGAGAUGAAAAUUAAAGGAACACUAUAGUCACCUAAACAACCUUUAGUUUAAUGAAGCAGUUUUAGUGUAUAAAUCAUGCUUCUCAGGUUUCACUGCUCAAUUCACUGCCAUUUAGGAGUUAAAGCACUUUGUUUCUGUGUAUGCAGCGCUUGUCACACCUCCCCUGGCUCUGAUUGACACAGCCUGCAUGAAAAAAACUGGUUUCACUUUCAAUCAGAUGUAAUUUACCUUAAACAAUUGUAUCUCUUUCUCUGUAAAUUGAACUUUAAUCACACACAGGAGGCUUUUGCAGGGUCUAGCAAGCUGUUAACAUAGCAGGGGAUAAGAAAAUCUAAAUUAAACAGAACUUGCAGUAAAGGAAGGAUAACUUUACAUGACUCUUAACAGGAAGUGUUUAGGAAGGCUGUGCAAGUCACAUGCAGGGAGGUGUGACUAGGGUUCACAAAGUGAUUUAACUACUAAAUGGCAGAGAAUUGAGCAGUUAGACUGCAGGGACAUGAUUUGUACACCAAAACUGCUUCAUUAAGCUAAAGUUGUUUAGUGUCCUUUUAAAUUUGUAAGUCUGAACACCCUGCCAGGACUCAUUUCAUCAUGUCAUAAUAUCUGCUUUUUCUUUUCUCCUUUUUUUGUUUGUUUUGUUUUCUAUUGACUAAUAUUCUGUAUCGGCAAACUAAUAUACUUAUAAUAUCUGAUCAUUGACCCUCUCUUCUAUCCCUCUUCAUUCGAUCACUUUUUUCACUCCCUUUUCCCGUCUAACCUUUAACAUACAGGAAUGCUCAUACUGACAAACUCAUAGAGACUUUUGUAAUGGUUUAUUUAUUUUUAUACUCAUCACUUUGAAUCCCUUGAAAAAUUCAAGCCUUUCCUGUUUUAUAUUUAACAGUGUUUUCCCACAACAACUUUCGCCACUAAGUCCAAAGUGUUUUAUUCACUAAUUCACUGACUGCAGAAAGUUGGCAUGCAAAUUACACAAUUUUAGCAAAAAAUAAAUAAAUAAGAAGAAAUAGCCAAUUGUCCAGUGUAGGUAUUUUCUUAUUUUGGUGAUCUUCAAUUCGCAACAACUCUGUAUUUUUUUCCCACAUUUUCUGGUUUGAUUUUCCAAAAUGUAGACACGCAAAGAUUUGAAUUUGGAAGCAAUUUGUGUAUUUUAGUGGUAACAUUGUGGUGUAUGAAAUGCAGAAUAUAGAAAACAAAAUGAAUAAUUGCCAGUAUAUUGUUAUAAAAUGGUAAUAUGAAAUAGCUCAUGGUAUGUAGCAUAUUGCUGUGUUGCCCAUUUAAUAUAAUGCUAUGUGUGAAGCCAGCCUAUGUGGUAAGAUGCCAUGCUAUGAGACCUUUGACCUCUGCCAGCUGUUCCUACUGAAUCCCCUCCCCCCCUCUAUGUCUCCUGCUGCAGAUCCUCCAAGCCUGCACCUUAUCCAGCUGCGGGAGGGGGCGGGGCUACCGCGUGUGUGACUGACAGCUCCUCCAGC
Molecule: long non-coding RNA, 59676 nt
Filed under: Pelobates cultripes (western spadefoot toad)
Lineage: Eukaryota; Metazoa; Chordata; Amphibia; Anura; Pelobatidae
Source: RNAcentral